This 45354-nucleotide long non-coding RNA is filed under the name Ananas comosus (pineapple). Its description in RNAcentral is "long non-coding RNA (ACOM_LNC019002)". The record is from RNAcentral. Lineage: Eukaryota; Viridiplantae; Streptophyta; Magnoliopsida; Poales; Bromeliaceae.
AAAAUGUUAUAAAAUUUGUAAGAAGCACAAUAAAAAAAUAUCAUAUUUAUUUUUGUAUGUAAUAUCAUGUUGUGUUUAUCCGCUGCAAUAUAUUUUUUACGACCCAUUAGAAAAGACUGAAGUUUAUCGUUUUAUUUUUUUUGUCCGAAAUUUAUUUUUAGGCUAAAUUACAGAAAACUUCCCUAUGAAAACUCGAUUUUCACUUUCUCUCAUGUCAUUUAAAACCUACACUUUACCACUUGUAAAAUAAAAAAUGUGCACUUCAUUUUAUUAGUGAUCCGCUAGGGUUCUGUUAUAAUUUUUUUUUAUGCUAAAAAUAUCCCUCCGCUUUCUUUCUUGUUGCUUCGCCUUCCUUCGCCUCCACUGCCUCGCUCUUGCCUACAUCCCCGUCAUCGCCCACAAACACCCCUUCGCCCUCCUCCGUCGCCUCACCUACGCUCUCGUUGUCGUUAUCCACCUCUCCAUCCACGCCCACCUCGAUUUCCUCCUUGCUGUCGCCGAAAUCGAGGGUCGGCGAACGUGCAGGCGGAGAAGGGGAGCAGGUGGAGGAAAAAAUAGAGAAAAACCACGACCGAUCGAGGAUGCUGUUGAGAAAGAUGAGGGAGGAGACAAAAAUGGUGAGGAAAAAAAUAAUCAUUUUAUCAUCACAGUACACACCGUACCCCUUGUGAACAUUUUUUAUUUUACAAGGAAGUAAAAUGUAGGUUUUUAAAUGACAGAGAGGAAAAAGUGAAAAUCAGAUUUUGACAGAGAGAUGUUUUGUAAUUUAGCCUGAUUUUUAUUUAUAUUUAGACUAAGAUUAGAUAACUCGAGUAAUAUAUAUAUAUAUAUUUUUUAAUCUUCAGGAAAAUAAAAUCACGGCAAAUCGAACUUAAAACCGUCCAAUCGAUUUGUACUCUUCAAAAUCCACUCAAAUUUAGGUAUAAAUAAACAAAACUCUUAAAUUUAAGAUUUAGGAAUUUGAAUUCCUUGCCUGCGGAGUCGUCGCCAAGUCAAAAAGCAUUAAAUAAAGUAAGAAUGAAGGGAAAGCGAUGUCUAUAAAGCACAACCGACGAUCGUUUCCGAGCACAACGAUCUCGCUACGCAGAACCCUCUUGGUAAUCUCCGAUUUUCCCCUCAAUUUCUCCUUAUUUUCACUUUUGUUUGUCGAUCUGUAAGUGUUGUUCAUCGACUCGAUUGGCGAUUUCGCGUUUUCGCCGCGAAAAUUAGGGUUUAAACUAGGGUUUGUGAUUCAUCCUAGUUAGAGUGAGUGGUUCUAGUUUUAUUUCUCUCUCGAAUUUUGUUUUCCUUAGCUUAGUUGCAAACAGUGGGAGAUUAAGAAGAGAUUGCUCUUAUAUUUUUUGCGUGUUUUGAUCAUAGGAUUCUUAGUUCUCCUUUGUGAAAGGGACGAGUUACGUAGUUGAUGUUGAUUUAUAAAAAUCCAUGUACAUGUUUUAUUUUUGCAUUUAUAUGUACAGAGUAAACAUCGAGCACGAGCCACAGAAGGGGUAACUACAGUUUACUUGUGAUGGAUCUUCACCAAAACUACAGUUUAUAUAUGUGUGUGUCUGUAUAUAUAUAUAUAUAUGUGUGUGUGUGUGUGUGUGUGUGUGUGUGUGUGUGUGUGUGUGUGUGCAUAUCGAACUAACAAAUCUACAUUUGCCUUGUAUUCAUAUUCUCUUCUAUUUCCUGUUUCUUUGGAGCUAAUCCUGUUGAUUUUUUGUCUUGAGUGGCUUAGGUUUGCCCAUCAUGGAGUACUACAAUAUGUCCACCCGUCGGGUUUCAUAUGAUGUAUUGGAUAUCUGUCUCAAGGACAUCCUUUCUACGAUCAAACCCUCAAGUGAUGAUGAAAGAAAACGAAUGCACGCCAUCAGUGAGCUUGAAACUUGCAUUAGAUCUAUUGUGAUCUUGAAAGGUAAAUGAUAUUGAUUAAUGUUAGGGUCAAAUGAAUGGAUAGUCCCUGUACUAUCCUACCAGUUGGACUUCGUUCCUGAACAUUUCACUUGAACAGUUUAGCCUAAUCUUCCUCAUAUAUUGCAAUGCCAUUCUUGACCACUAAAAAAUUUCAUCCCUAAACUUUCUCACACAUUGCAACAUUUUUGUCCCUAAACUCUCUCUCGGGAAGUGGGUCGGUGGGUGGGGGAGCACACGCACGUUCAGGCAGGCGUGUGUGCAUGCAUCCUUACGUAGUUUAAUAACUUAUAUUUGUCUAAUUUCUGAAACAGGUGCUGCUGUGAAGCCCUUUGGAUCUUUUGUGUCAAACCUCUAUACUAGGUGGGGAGAUUUGGAUAUUUCCAUUGAACUUCCAGAUAGCUCACAGACACCAUUAAGUAGAAAAGGAAAACAGCAUGUUCUACGGAAUAUAAUGAGAGCUUUGCAAAGAACAGGUACUUAUUCUCUGUUGUUUGCUCGUUAUGUUGCUAAUUAACUAUCCCACAUUUAUUUAUUUUAUUUGGUGCAUUGUAGAAUUACUUCCUAUGCUGCCUGUCGCUGUUGAAGUCCUACCAAUUUCUUGUUUCCUUGUUACAAUUGUUGUCCUGAUCCAGUUUCUUCUUGCGCACAUUUAGGCAAUUAAUUUAAGCAAUUAUUUAUCAUAUUUUGCUGCACUAGAGUGACUUUUUAAUUUCUUUUCUGUUAGGUGUUGCUCAUAGUCUUCAAUUUAUACCCCUUGCGAGAGUUCCUCUGCUCAUAUGCAAAAGCACCUAUGAUGGUAUUUCUUGUGAUAUUUCUGUUAAUAACCGCGCUGGUCGAGUUAAAUCCAAAAUCCUCCAUUGGAUCUCUGACAUAGACACCCGCUUUCGUGACAUGGUUCUAUUGGUGAGCUUCAACUUGUCAAUAAAUUGAUCUGUGAAAUGUAUUUACAGUUCUUGUACUAUCCCGAUGUUGUAACUUGGUCCUUGUACUUCUCACUGUAGUGACUUAGUCCUUGAACUUCUUUAUUUAUUGCACUUCAAUCCCUGGCCAUUAAAAAUCUAUUUUCUUGUAAUUUGACCAUUUCAUUCCUCUCUGUAACACUCAAAACAUGGUUGAAUCGGUUAUUUUAUAGCGAAAAUCAACAGAUGUGACAAUAUUCUCUUGCUAAUCAGGGAUGGAAUUGAAAUAUAUAGAAGUUCAGGGACUAGGGUUUUUUGAGUGAGAAGUUCAUGAACCAAGUCCCAACAUUGAGAUACUACGGAGAAUAUCCAUAUAUUUUGUGCUUAAUAAUUUUCUAUUUUGUUUGUUAUUUUGUCUUUAAUCUAGGCUUGAUACUUUUGCAUGCAGACUAAAGAAUGGGCAAAAGCACAAGACAUUAAUGACCCGAAGUCGGGGACAUUGAAUUCGUACUCACUCUGUUUGCUAGUUAUCUUCCAUUUCCAGGUUUUGUUUCCAAUAGCUCAGUUGGUAGUUUGAUAUCCUUUUCAUUUUUCUCCUCGCAAAUAUUUGCAGCAACUUUUUAAUUUGGUACUUUUUGGAGACUUUUUCUCUUAUGCUACAUUUGAUGUAUUACUACAGACAUGUGAGCCUCCCAUCUUGCCACCUCUUAAGAAAAUAUAUGAAGGGAACGCUGUUGAUGAUAUUAGGGGUAUGUUAUGGGUACAUUAUUAAUGGGCUAAUUAAUGCAGGAAAUCUGCUAUAAAUAUCACAAUUCCUGUAUUGGCCCUAUGAAAUUUUAAAACCUGGUCUUUACUCCAUCAGCUUAUGAGCAUAGUGAUAGAUACUGGCUGCUCGGAGCACUAAUAAAGGAGCCAAAGAUGAAAUCUUCUAGUUUUUGUGGGGUAAUACACAAGUUUUAAUACUUCAGGGGAGAAAUAAAAAAUUGUGAUAAUUGAAGGGGGGUUCCUUGCAAUUUAGCCUUAUUAAUGCCUCAUUUUAUACUACCUUUCUGGAUGUGCUUUUGUAACAGGUCAUGCGUGUUGGACUAACUACCCUUUUAGUAUUUGAUAGUUUGUAUGUUCAUGGCUUAUCUGAUGUAGGAUUCGAGUAUAUUACUGAGAGACAUAUUGCGGAUAUUUGUGCUGCAAACAUAAGACGAUAUAAGUCACAAUAUCCCAUACAAAGAAACCGAAGCUCUCUUUCUGAACUUCUCAUGUCUUUCUUCGAUAAGGUAAUUUUAUCACUUGAUUUGCUGCAUUAAUCUUGGUGUUGCUGUAAUAUGAGACACAUAAAAAUGCACAAAUUUUCGGUUUUUGGGACUCUCUUUCUUUGCACUUACGGAGCCUUUCAUUCUUAUGCUUUCUGUAGUUCUCCCAAAUUGGAACUUUAUCUCUGGAAUAUGCGAUCUCCACUUAUACAGGCGGGUGGCAGAGAAUUAACCGCAAUCCAGUUUUGCUGGGACAACUUCCUAGUAUUAUGGUAAGAACUAUUCUUGAAACCUAUAAACAAACACAGUAAAUUGUGAAAUUCGUGAUAGUGCUUGUUUGGCCUUAUUUUUCCCUUUGUUUUGAGUUGUAGCGACCUUUUGUAGAGAACUUGGUAGACAAAAAAAGUCUAGAGCUUCUGCUGUUGCGGGAGGCUCAACUGACAUCCCAAAGCCCAAAUAUAGAUGCUCUGAAUUUGGAGCUUUGUGAUUCAGAGAGAAGCUUUUAGGGGGAUACUUAUGUACUGCAUCUCCUAAUACACUCCUCAAAUAGCUCUGUACUCUAUAGGCUUGUUAGAUCCUUUGGAGAAUUGCCUUUUGAUUAUGGUGGUUCGAAGAAGCCCUAGCAGUUUUUCCAUUACCGCUUGAAACACUCCUAUCUCCAAACGACUUCCACCUGUGCAACUAGAAACUUUAAAUUGGAGAUUUUGCUUCUUUGGGUCUAGAAUCGGAAUUUACCUUAACUUCCAUAGGGGCUUAAGGGCUGUUUUCUGUUCUUUUAUUUUUUUUCGGGAAGAGGGGGGUAAGUUAUGUGAUCCUUCUUCCGCGAUAGAAUCAGGAAGUUCCUUGUUAGAGCAAGUCCAUUGCUAACAGAGUUUGGUUAUAAAUUACUAACUAUGAUGCAUUGUUUAGAUUGAAGAUCCUUUCGAGCGGCCAGAAAAUGCUGCGAGAUCGGUUGGGUUUCUAGGCAAAAUAUCAGAUGCAUUCAGGGAUGCAUAUCACAAACUCUCCUCUCGGUCCAUGCUCUCGAAUCGCAACGCCUUGCUUGCACUUUUAACCAGACCUAGCAUAAGCACACAACUUAACGCAAGAGCACCGGAAAGAUCCACACCCAAGCAAAUCAAUCAUCAACAUUACAGGCACACUGGUACUGCAAAUCGGUUUAAAAACUCGGAGCAAAUUCAUGAGCGAUUCCGCAGUGCAUUGAGACUGGAGCAACAGGGGCCGUCUUCAUCAACAGCUGGCUAUCGAGAGGAGCGACGGAAGUCAAGAGUGAAUAAUUAUCGAGGCCAAGGUUAUGAAAUAGGGUAUUGUGGAGUUGCAUUUGCAGAUGACCUUUGAUGCGGUUUUGGGAGUACCAUCCUUCUUAUUUUGACUUGCCAUCUACACCCUCAAUCACAAAUUGCAGACCGAACUUGAAAAGGUUCAAAUAGAUUAUAUAAACUUCGUAAUUGUUUUGUUCAACCACACAGCUCUGAACUUUGUUUAUUUUUCUACAAAUCUUCAAUCACAUGAAAGUCAUAUAAUUCAAAUGCUUCUCUUUCAGCUGAAUUCUUAUAUAAUUUUAGAGAUAUUCCCGAGUCAUUUGGCUUUCAUAGGAUUGAAGAUUAUUAAGAAAAAUUAUCAAAAUGCAGAGUUAGAUGGUUGGUUGAACAAAUUACAAAGUUUAUAUCGUUUUAUUUUAACUGUUCAUUAAUCGGGCUGCAAUCUGUAAUUGAUCUACCGUCUUGAGGUUUGGCAUACCUUUCGUAAUUAUAUUUUAAGCUUCAACUUGUGUGGCGAUUCUAUUUGGUUGGGUAGUUUUAGAGUCGUACUCGGAUGGUGAUUUUGAACAGUUGUAAUGUGACUGCUUUUAGUAUCGUAAUGCAGGUGGUUUACCGUGUAAAUAAGGUCUAGUUUGGAAUAGUUAUGUUCAAAUGUACCAUUUUGUGCUUGGAAAAGUAAACAUUUUAAAAAAUAAAAAUCUACGAGUAUUUUUGAGUCUUUCCAAUAUUGUUGAUAUAUAGUCGGAACCGCCACAUCUAAGUAACUGUUGGUUGCUUCUCUAGCUGGCUGCUCUAUAAGUGAUGGUUUUAGUCUACUUAUUAAUCUUUUAAAAAAUAGUAGUACGUUAUCCAUUUCUUUUAUUUAUUUAUUUUUUAAAUUUAAUGCAAGAGUAAAGUAACUAAACGUCCAACUUAGAAACUUGAAUAUCAAAUAUCAAUUUUUGGCCGUCGGUUUCUGCUGCUAAUUUGUAGCGUCAAAAAGGGUAGUUUGCUGAAGUCGUAAAUUUUUAUUAAAUAGCGUGCGGAGACUGAUGCUGUUUAGAUUUAACUACUUGACAAAUUGUCCGUUUUUGUUUAAUUCAUGGUCCUGUUAUCCUGUAAAGCUAGACUUGCUAUGGUUUCUGAAUGUUCGCAGCACUCGCUAUUAUUUCUCUAGGAGCACAAUAGGAUUAGGAAUGAACUCUGCAAAAUCUCGAACGCUAUUUAAGUUGUGACCAUAAAAUCUAUUUGAAAGAAAGUCAGUGGCACUAAACGUCGUCCCAAGCUGCCUCGAUGCUUUUACAUGAGUUGCGUACCCAGAUUAAACUCGGUUGAAAUAGCGUACCAGAUUAAACUCAGUAGAAAUAUCAUAGCCUCUUCAGCUCGAUUCCAUUAAAAAAUAGUUGAGAAUACCAAAGUAAUAAUCAAUACAUGAAUAUAAUAUCACCUCUUCUUCCACUAGAAAGAAAUCAUCUAUUUUGAUUACCAAAAUGCCACGACCGAAGCUGAUAAACAACUACAAUUGAACAAUAACAUUACCACUGGCUACGACAAGCAUACAAACAAAAAACGUGAGAAUCGUCUGGUGAAAGCUGUAUUAUCCAGAAGCAGAACCUUUAUUAAACACACACUUUCAGAAACCUAUGUAUGUUGAUCGAAAGAACAAAAGCAACAGAAACAAGUUAACUUUUCGAAAUUAUCAUCACAAGAAAUAACAAUUCGAAACAAAAUGACAAACAGUUUACACUGUUAAAACCUGGAUCUCACAGCCCUACAAAUUUAUUGGCUAGCAGGGAGAUGGGCUAUCAAGCCUUUUUUCCAAUACCGUGGGACAUGUUGUAUAUCCCGCGCCCCUGUUCACCAAGUAAGAGAGAAUUGGAUAAACAUACUAAAAUCUCACGACCAACGUUUGGUUAUGCAUGCAGUUUUUACUUCUCUUUUAGUUUUGUUUCUUUUUAUCAACACAAAUGCUUUACGAUCUAAUGUGCUACCUGAUUAAGCAGAUUGUUUGGAAUCUAUACAUUAGUUUGUUUGAUCACAAAAAGUAAAAACUUGACUCAUUACCUUUUCUUGCUUCUGUGAUUUUUUUUUUUUUUUUUUGGUGGGCUAAAAAAAAAAAGGUUGAGUAUAUACAAGCUAACCAACAACUGAUGCAAAGUACUCCACCAGUUGAUAUUUAGUAGCAUAUGGUUUAAGUUUUUCUAAAACAAAAAAAACCUAAACAAUGUAAUUGUAGUCAGAUGAGACCCAAAUAAGGAUAAGAAAAAAAAAAUUUUAAAAAGAAAAAGAAAAAAAGGACUCACAAUGAGAAACAGGCUAGAGGCUGCCAGUGUAAGAGGAAUAGCAACUGAAGUGACCAUAUCAUAACGGCCUUUCAAGUAGGUGUGCUUGUGGAGGCUUUGGAAAUACUGCUGAUACUUUAGAAUCCUCUCCCUCGGCACAAAAGGUGGCUCCGACAUCCUGCAUUAGAAGAAUAUAAAUUUAGAUGAGAUCAAGCUGUUGUGUUUUACAGUCAUAGGCAUUAUUGUCAGAACUAUUGUCAUAGUGUUUACACAUAUACAUAAUAUAUCUUCUCUUGAAGAGUUCUAUAUGAAAUACUGUACAGGUACAAAUUAAAACAGUUUCGCUCUAAUUGAGAAUUAUUUGCCAUAUACGAGACAAGAGAACUUGAUUGCUGUGUGAACAAUAGGGUAUUAACCAAACAUACUAGUCAAGUCUCACAUGCUGCAACUUAAUAGAACAAAUACAGCUGCUUCUCUGAACUUCGAGAAUGGCUAAAUGUUGCCUUACAUAUCUAUCCAGUAAUCAUUUUACGAGGGAAAAUGAUUAUGGGUUAUAGAACAUCCAGAACACAUCAGAAAAAGAAUGCUAAAAUCAUAAGAUAUCACUAUUCAUCAUCAAGUAAAAUCCACUGGUCUUACACCAACAGUGACAGGAAUAGAAGAGUCAAUAAGUCAGUGCAUCCAAUCACGUAGUAUUAAAGUUAAAAAGAGCAGCAAUAGAAACAAAGGAGGUCCAAGGAAAAAAAACCCUUUAGCUCCAAUCCUCAAGGAAAUAAGACCACCUCUGCACUGCAAUAUUCUAGAACAUAUUCACAUGAUGCAAAGGCAGAAUCAAAUAGAACUAAACUGACAAAACUCUUAGGGGGCGUUUGAUUCGCACUAUGAACGAUUACUAGGAAUAAAAAGAUACCUAAAGAUUUUAUUCCUACUCAUCCUAUUACUAAGAAUGUGGCAGUCCGGUGUUUAAUUCGCACGAUCAUAUUAUUUAGUCACAUUAUUUAAUAUUACGAAAAAUAUACAAUUAAUGUAUUUGUUUCGUCAAUUAAUUUUAGAUAAUGCUAUCAAAAAUUUCACCAUCCUUUUAGAGAAGGAGAAAGAACAUAAGUUAGAGAGAGAAUAAUUAAAGAAAUAGGGAGAGAGAUAGAGAGAUAGAGUCAAGAUUAGAGGGAGCGAGAGAGUUGAGAUUUUAGAAAAAAGGGGAAGAGAGAGCUUAGUUUAGAGAGAGAAAAAGCGUUGAAGUUUAGAAAGAAAAAGAUAAGUUGAGGUUAGAGUGUAAAGAAAAACAAUACCAACUAGCCAACGGGUGGGAAGAAAGAAAAAGAUUAGAAAUAUUAUGAUUACCCCAAUUCAUUAAUAUGAGGAUAUCGACCCUCUCUCGUUCAAAGGAAUGAGAUUAGUAGUUUUGGAUAAAUCUCAUUCCCAAGUAAAUCCAAUAUUACCAAUUAGAUUACUUAGUGCGUUUAGUCAAACACCGUCAUAUUUUUUUUUAUUCCUAUUGAAUUAUUAGGAAUAUUAAAAAGAAAGCGUGAACCAAGCGCAUCCUUAAGGUGCGAACCCUCUUUUUACUUGCAAUGAGUUCUUUCAGAAAAGCACAGCUAUGGCUCUUGUAUCAGUUUCUAAUCUCACAUUAUACAACUCCAUAGCCUUUUAAGACCUCAUCUAUGAUCCACUCCACAUAUAUUCUCAUUAAUCUGAUAAAAUUACAGCCUAAAUUACUAAUAUCACAGAUCUUAUACCAUAUCAAUCAUACAAAAUUUAGGAAAAUGCAUCUGACCCACACCUAUCUAUCGAUUAUAAGCAAACCUCAAUUAUUCUCAUUAAUGUGAUCACACUCCUGCAUUAAACGCUAAUAUCACAAUCUUAUGUCACAAAAAUGCACUAAAUUAGGGCAUACAAAAGAUCCAGACGUUUCUAUCAACUAUCAACAACUUAAUACAACGAACAGGUCGAUCAAAAUUAUAAACAACCCAAAAAAUGAAGAAAAUAAGAAUAUAGAAGUCCCGGAAUCGCUAUUCAACGCCUAUAUUAUUCUCAUAAAUCUGAUAUCAAACCAGUUUAAAUAGCCAUUAUCACAAUAUUUAUUCAUAAAAAUCGUUAAAAAUAAGGACAUAAACAGAUCCGAACCGAUCUAUCUACUAUCGCGCACCAGAAAUCAAUAGAACUGUAAACAAUCCGGGAAAUGAAGAAAAUAAGAAGAAAAUUAGAGCCAAAAUCACAAUAAUCUCUAUCUCAAACCCUGAUUGAGGGAGAGAAAGACCUGGAGACGAAGAUCGAUGGGGGGCGCAGGGCGAAUCGGGGCGGUGAUCGCUCGAGGCGAAGAGGGUCGAGAGCGGAGGAGGAGGAGGAAAUGAGAUUGGGGGCGCGGACGCAACGAGGAUCGACCUUAGAUGAAGAACCCCUCUGGAAACCACGCUGCACGAAUCACGAGGUUGGCGAAAUUGCAUCACAACCGUCCCUCAGAUCUGCAUACUCCGAUAUAACUCUAGCUGGUUUUAUGCGGGGGGAAUUUUCAUAUUUCCCCCUCUAAAAUCAUCAAAUUGUAUACAGUGGUUAAAUUGUACGAUUGGCUUGGCCUCUUAAUUAUUUUUCUUUGGAUUAAUGCCAUUUUCAUCUUCUAAUUAUUUUAGCGUAAAUUAUUUUUAAAAUUAAGUAUAAUUUUGUUAUUAAAUUAUUAAAUUAUAAUUAUAAAAUUUAUAAGCCCAUUAGUUAAAAUGAUAUGCCGAAGAGUUGAAUUCAAUGUGUACAUUUAAUCAAUAAAAAUAACUUAAACAAAAAGAAUUGUGUAUUUUCAAAAGAGCUUCAGUUUAUUUUUAUUUUAAAAAAUAAAUUAGUUUAAGUUAAAUCUCUAUGUUUUCAUUCAUUUUAUUUUAUAUCUGAUUGAUACCUAUUAAAUAAUAAUAAUUUUUUUUUAUAAGUAAAAUUUGAAUGGUCAAAAUAAACAUGAUGAUGUGAAUAAAAGGGUGGUCAUAAGUUCAUGUGGCAUAAAUAUAUAGUAGUGACACUAGGUAUAGACAUUUAUUUCAAAAUAAAAAAUUUAAAAUUCUUCAAUUCUUCAAUAUGAAACAAAAAGGACGAAAUUAAGCAUUGAUCAAAUAUACGGGGACAUAUAUUCAAUUUUCCUCCCGAACUCGGUAGCAAAAGUAUUUGCUUGUGUACAUACGCAUUUGGUAUUAUUAUACAGUAUAACAGCAGUACUCGCAAACUUUCCCUUCUCCUUUCCGAUUCCGCCUCUUCUCCGAAUACUCCUCCGCAACGCAACAACAAAAAAACGCUCCCGAACCCUAGUCUCGCACAUGACACCCAAUCCCCAAUCCCUUCUCCAAAUCGCGAAACCCUAGUUCCCCUCUCUUUUCUCGCUCUCUCGUCGAUCCAGGGCCCAAACUAGGGUUUCCGAUGGCGAAGCUCGCGGAGGACGACGACAAUGGCGGCGACUCGGGGUCGAGGUCGGUGUUCGAGACGGUGAGCGGGUCGCACCGGUACGCGGUGAAGGGGUUCUCCCUGGCGAAGGGGAUGGGGCCGGGGAGGUUCCUGUCGAGCGGGGCGUUCGCGGUGGGGGGCCACGAGUGGGCGGUGUACGUGUACCCGGACGGGAAGAGCCCCGAGGACGGGGCCGCGUACGUGUCCGCGUUCGUGGCGCUCGCGAGCGAGGGCACCGACGUGCGCGCCCUCUUCGAGCUCGCCCUCGUCGACCAGAGCGGCAAGGGCAAGCACAAGGUCCACAGCCACUUCGCCCGCGCCCUCGAUGCUGGUCCCUACACCCUCAAGUACCGCGGAAGCAUGUGGUGUGUGCAUCCUCCUUCUUUUCCUUCUCCUUUUUGGCAAUUUUUGUUCUCGAUCCGUUGUUUAAUAGGUUAAAUUUUCCUUCCUUUACCGUAGUUUAUCGGUUUUUUUCGCUAAUAUGGUAUGGGAACUGGUUAUAAUUUUGCCCAUUGUUUCGCAAUAUUUCUCGCCAUUGCAAGUGGCGUGGUUUAUCUACUCUGUGCCGUGCACAUGAGUGGCGUUUCUUAUCAUAUUGAUCUUUUGUGAAACUUGGUUUGCUAAAAUUCCCUGCAGUUUCAUUUUUCAAGAGUUUGCGGGUUCAAUUCUCUAUAUCCAUUGUAUUUAAUGGGUUAAACUUUUAUCCUUUCAUUGUUGAUAUCUUCUCUUUUCAAUGCAAAAAUGCAAAAUUCUCUCUUGUGCUAUUUUGCUAAUUUUUAAUGGUUGUGUAAACUUAAAAAUGUUUUCUACUCACUUAAUGAUGUUGACACCCCAGUUUGAUUUUCUAGAUAUUAUGGAUAGCUCCUCUUUUUUUUUAUAUAAAUAUUUUAUUUGCAAGUUUGUUUUUUUUUACUAUAUAUUGAUUGUCAAUGUUUCCUGUUUCUUAAAGAAAUAAAAAGAAAAAAAAAAAAGAUUGUCAUUGUGUGCUUUGGCGUGCUUGCAUUCGCUUAUCUUGCAAUUGUUAUCUGUAUUUUAGAGAACUGUCCUUUCUCAUUUUAUGUACAAUGUAAUCUAAUAAUUGUAAUUAAAUCUUCUUCCAUUUAAUGCAUGCGCGUGCUUGUAUCAGUUUGUUUGUUAAAUGGGCUUAAAACUAGCUUGGGGUGAGCUCCUGUAAUAUAUUUUACAUAUGGGGAGCUUGAGUAGCUUAUAGCUCUCUUGCUUUCCUGAUACCGUGCUUGAUACUAUGCUCUAAUUUCUUAAAUUACAAUCUUUCAUGGUUAUUGUCAAUGUCUCUUUUUUCUCUUUCCCAGUUCUCUUACUAAUUUAUAAUUUAAUUUUUUGGUUAUAUCAUAGGGGUUACAAGCGUUUUUACAGAAGAACAUCCCUAGAAACAUCGGAUUAUCUGAAGGAUGAUUGUAUAAUUUUGAACUGCACAGUCGGUGUUGUUAGGAACCGUGUGAAUUCACCGAAGCACUUAUCAAUUUCUGUACCAUCACCUGAUUUGGGGCACUGCCUCAUGGACCUGCUGAAAUCUGGUAUUGGAUCUGACAUAGUUUUUGAGGUUGGCGAUGAGAUGUUUAGAGCUCACAAGCUGGUUCUUGCUACUCGCUCACCAGUAUUUAAUGCUCAAUUCUUUGGUCCAAUUGGAAAUCGGCAUCUGAACAGGGUUGUUGUCGAAGAUGUGGAACCUCUCGUGUUCAAGGUAAUGACUGCUUAUAUUAUAUUUUGCCAUUGCAAGUAACAGUAACUAGCAGUAACAUGCUGGUUCAAGGAACUCUUUUAAGAUAUUUCUUUCCUGAGUUAAUCUCUUAUCUGUUUAGCUUUUUAAAUUCAUUAAAAUAAUGCUUUUAUAUAUAUAUAUAUAUAUAUAUAUAUUUGGACUUUGCAGGCCAUGCUUCACUUUAUAUACUCGGAUAAAUUUCCAAGUGUCCAUGAACUAACUGGACCAGAUUCAAUCUGCACUUCGACAAUAAUGGUGCAACAUAUAUUAGUGGCGGCCGAUAGAUAUGGAUUGGAGCGUCUGAGGCUGCUAUGUGAAGCAAAGCUAUGUGAGGAACUCACCACUGACACAGUGGUGACAACCUUGGCUCUAGCGGACCAACACCAGUGUGCUCAAUUGAAGUCUGCCUGUCUAAAAUUCAUGGCUGCUCGGGAAAAUUUGGGAGGUUGGUGUUCUCUCUUUAGACUAAGAAUAUAUGCUUUCUCCUACUUGAAUAAGAUUGCCUAUUUUGCUCUAGGUACUUCUUUCUCUGUAUGUACCUGCAAAAUUGUGAAAUCUGAAGUUGUGUGUUCGCAUCAAAAACUUAAUUCCUUACCUAUACGACCUUAUUCAAAAAUGCCCCUUUUAGAGAGCAUUUUCGGGCACAGGACCAAUCUCCUCCCAUGAAUUGGAUGAUGACCCAAUCUAAGAAAAAAUUUACCAUUAAAAUAUACAGUUACGAAAGUAUCAUUACGUAAGUUGGGGAGUCAUCCAUCUCCUAUAGGUUUGUACUAGAAAAAGUUGUGAAGAGGGGCAUCUUUGAAAGUGCGAACGUUUAUUUUUAAGAAACGAAAGGAUUCUUUUAUUGAAAACAAUGAACUUGAAGGAUUAAUAUGUAUCUUAUGCAGGGGUGUAUAUUAUGUAAAUAUCUCCAUGUUUCAUUAUCAAGCUUCCAGCGAUAAAUUUACAUUUUCCUAGUGCAUUUUGCGAUUUCAUCACAAAUAUACUCAUCCUUGUGUCACCUAUUGUUUGCAGUUGUCAUGGAGACCGAAGCCUUCGACCACUUGAAGGAGACAUCCCCGUUGUUACUUUCCGACUUGUUGGCGACUGUUGCCAAUGCAGACAAUGAUCCUACAUCAAUUGGGCAGAAGAGGAGCAGUAGCAGCGUCGUAGGGCUCGACUUAAGGGACCCUGUUGAACUCUUCGGAAGGCGAAUAAGGCAGCGACUGUAACUUGCCACACCAAAAACCCAGGUCCUAAUCGGGGCGGAGAAAGAAAAGAAAAUGCCAAAAAAAAAAAAAGAAAAGAAAAAAGAAUAGCCUAGUUACUAACCAUGGCCUUCAAUGCACAUAUUUUAGUUUUUCAUAUUGAUGUUUCAGGAUUGUGAGGUAAAAAAUGGCAUUUUGUUUUGAGUAGAAUUGUGGUGAAAUUGUGAAUAAUUUGGUAUUCCUCUUUUCUCAAGUCACUAGCGAAUCUUAGCAAAAUUCAUGAGAGUAAAUUACAUCAUAUGUUUUUGAGUUUCUUUGAUAUCUGUUUUUGCAGCAACCAUGUACAAAAUAAUAACUCGUGAUUGGGAAGUUGCGUUAUUGCCAACCAAUAAUAACUUAAUAAUAAUAACAACAACAAAGCCCAAGAAAAGUAAACAAACAUCUUUAUUGAUUCUACUGCUUCACGGUUGAAUCAUAUUCUGCAGCUUCUGGUGAUUACAUAUAUAUUUUUUUUCUCUUAGCACUUGGGAUCGCAUUUGCGGCAAUUUCUUUGACACAUGUCUUUGGUGCCGUAGCAUCCCUGCGAUCGCAGAGACAAGCAGCAGUACGUGUAACCACCCUCAUCACACGUGCCCUGCGUUUGUGGAAGAACAUCUUCGAUCCGCGCACGUGCGGGGCUUUCUUUCCCGGGAAGCGCUUCCUACUGGUGAUGUUCCAACAAUCUCUCGACCUUGGGCGAAAAAUAAAAAUAAAAAUAUAUUCAAUUAAUCGACCAUUUUUAUUGUGGAUAAAUAUUGUUAUCAGCUUUUUUUUUUUUUUUUUUUUUUGACAGUGUGUUAAAACUCGAAACUGUGGUUAUGAACUAAAAAAGAUGUUGGGUCACGAUUCAACCGAUUCUAUCACCGGUUUGACCAGUUAGACCAGUAACAUCUUAUAAAUAAUGAAUUAUUCAUUUCUAUGUGUUUAAUAAUAAAGAUAAAAAAAUAAAAAAAAUAAAUAUUUUAAAGCUUCUUUUAAAAAAUAAUCUAAACAAAAUAGGUUGAACUGUCCCAUCAAUAAUCUAUGAUAAAUAAUGGUUCAAAUCGAUUUAAUUAAAAUUAUGUCGGUUCACCAUUCACUAGUAUAUUAGUUAGACCGCUAUAUCAAACGGUUUUAAAAUUUUCCGGUUAUAUGGAUCAAACUAAUCCGACCUGUGAAUUGGGUCACGAUCUGACUGAUUCGACUUGACUUUUAGAACACCGUUAUUUGGUAGUGGUCUCCUCAUGUAUACUUAGGCGAAAGUUUACUAUGUGACAGCCACAUCAUAUAAUCUAUAACCAAUCAAUUAUUUUUUUAAAAAAAAAUACAAUAAAAAUAUUUUUUAAAAUUAUGAUGGAAUGGAUAAAUUCAAUGGUGUAUUUUCAUUGGCCGGAGACACUACAUCCACAAUAUAACCAUCAUAUUUUAGACUUUUUAGUACUUGAGGGGCUUUCUUUAAAUUGUGUCGCUAGAAUUUUUUAUCGACAAAAGUAAAACGAGGAUUAGAAAUUUGGGAUAAUUUUUUAAUCUGUGAGAGCUGAUGUUAAAUAGAUCUUGUUUUUUUUAUAGAAAAAUGGCCAUCUCCCAGUGGAAAAAAGGCUAUGUUAAAAUUUGUGAUCUUCAUUUAUGCAAAUACGAAUGUAGUACAUGUUUUUUGAAAUUUAAUAUGAUUUUGAAGAUCCAUUUAGCAACCUGCUACUAAUAUCCGAAAAGACCGAAAAUCAAAACUCCGUAAAUAUACACAUAACGAGGUUUGAUCACCCAAUUGAGUCUACACUACGCACAAAUAUACAUUCAGAGUGAGUCUCUUAGAAAAAGGAAUAGCCUAGUUACUAACCUUGGCGUUCUAAUUUGCGUAUUUUGUUUUUCGUAUUGAUGUUUCAGGGUUAAUGUGAGUUGAAAAUGGCAUUUUGAUUUGAUUAGAAUUGUGGUGAAAGUUGUAGAUAAGUGGAUGUUUCUCUUUUUUCAACUCAGCACAGUAAUGGCUAGUGAAUCUUAGAAAAAUUCAUGAGAGUAAAUUACAUUACAUUACAUUAUUUGUUUUUGAGUUUUCCUGGUAGUCCUUUUGUGGUGGAAUAUUGUUGCCACAUCUGUUUUCUCAUCAACCAUGCAUGUACACAGUUUAAACUAUUUGAAUCAAAAGGAUCAAUCAUUCAUUCUUUUGCCGUUUAAACACAAUAUAAAUUAACCCGAGUGUGGCACGACUAACAUUUUCAGCAUCAGUAGUAUAUAAAUAACAAUGCUAGAGACAUACACGUACUACUUUAGAUAAAAUAACUAAAGAAGCAGAGAAAAGAUACACUAGAGACAAACACUACGUACUAAGAUGAACUAACUUCUUAGGGAGUAGAGAAAAGAUUUCUCCAAACUAGUUUCACUUCACUGCUAGUCAUCAGUAAUUCUCAUGCUUUCGCACGCGCCCGGAGCAUGGUGAGGGCCGAGAUGUAGCUGAAGAACCACGCGAGAAGAGCGAGCCCCGCGGAGGUAGUGUAGUGGCGGCAUGCGGUCGCCAUUUGCCCACAAAAAUUCACGUCUCUUUGUAGGAGCGUCGCUGCUGCCAAAGAAGAACACCCUGCUCCGAGUGUCGACUGCAUAGUCACCUAUGAUUUGAUUGUGGGGCGACUUAUUAUUACUUCAUAGUUUUAUGAAGAAGCUUUAAAUAUAAAGGGUACUAACUGUAAGUUGUAAUUCCAAUUUCUUACAUAUAUGUGUAGUUUGUUAUUUUUGUUAAGUUUCUUAUGAUUACAAGUUCUAGGGAAUGAACUUCUUGACUUUUGUUACUGUUCAUUUCGCUGCAAACUCGUUACAAUAUGAUAUACCUUCUUAUAUAUGUGGUAAUAAAGGUGUAAAUACACCGGGAGUGUUAUAUUUGCUUACUUUGAUACUUUGUAGAGAAGUUAUAUGAAAUAAAAACAAAAUAAGGAACUACUGUUCUUUUUAUUUCUCUUUUCCACGUAAUUAUAUAUUGUGGUAAACAGUAAAUACAGCAUAAACACUGCAAUGAGUUUUUGAAAGUUUACUCACUGUAUUGUAACUUUGAAAAUAGAGGAACCAGAAAUAAUCACGAGUGUGAGUUAAUUACCCAAUCUAAGAUAACAUAUACUGAUAGAAGAUUACGCCUGUGGUGAUUAAUUCCAUAAUAUAAGCAUAACAUAUCGUACGAAAGGCGCACAGUAAUCCAACAUAUAUGCCACGCCAUCGCCACGUCCAAGAACCUAAAAAAAGACAAUGAAUUAAAAAUAAUACAUUAAAAUUUCUUUUCUGGAUAAGAAUAUAUAGUGCAUUAAAAUUCUGUUGAGGAAAAUAGUGCAUUAGAACUAUAAAACCAUGCAUGCGAAGAUAAAAUAUUGACGAAGAGAAUCAAAAAUGAUAAACAAUUUGCAUACACAAAUAUAACAGAGAAGUAGGAUCGAGGGGCCGAGAUCAUAAUCGAUAAGGAAGCUGCAGCAAAAAUGAACUGCGCUAUCCUCAGCAACAGCCCAGAUACGCUUCCAGGGCCUCCUAUUACGUUCAUCUCCCUCAGUCUCAGUCUCAGUCUCAGUGUGGGUAUAUAGGAGUUUCUCUCUCUAUGUGUGCAUGUUGGGGGAGGGUACGUGUACCUCUUUAUAUAUAUUGCAACAAGUUUGAAUUUUUUUUUUUUUAAAAAAAAAAAUCCUUUGAUAGAAUAGUUAUUGUUUUUUUUAUAUUUGUAGAAAUGCAUAUUUGUCUCUAGAGGGUCAAUACCCCUUUGGAUAGAAAGCUCAAGAUGGACAAGCACUUAUUAGAGUUGGUAUAGUAUGCAUAUAUAUAAUAUACGUUAACUUAUAUAGUAACUCCAUUUUUUGCAAAACAUGGCUUUGGGCCUUUGGCUGAGUGGUUCACAUGCAAUUUUUUUUUUUGAGUUUGGACAUUGCCAGAACUUGGUGCACCUCGUCACACCAUGCACCUUUCUCGUUAAGCUGUUCAUUUCAAAUUAAAGUGUAAUCCAAAGUUCAGACACACUACGUACUUAAAUGAAAUUUAUUUGUAAUAGUAGAAUCACUCGAGACCAUAGAAUGAGUCAUUAAAAUUUCAAUCACUGCCUCAAAUUAAGAUUGAGGAGUUGCAACAUUGCUGCUAACCCAAUAACAAGACUAUCUUAAUUAUUAGUUUCCACAGUCCCAUUUUUCUAAAGCUCUAGAGAGUUAAACACUUUAUUGAUUGAUUCUAUGGUGGAUCGCCAAAUUAAAUUAGAUAAGUAGCAGCAGCUGCUACUUCAUGGUUGAAUCAGAUUGCCUAGCUUGUGGCGAUUUUCGCUCUGGCACUUGGGAUUGCAUGUUGGGCAAUUUUGCUGACACGUCUGCCUGCUGCUGUAGCAAGGCUCCCCCUGCUUAACUACGCAGCAGUAGCAUGUCUGAUCAUCCAAUCUCCCAUCCAAACUCGCGCACGUCGCCGGCAAACACGGAAUCACUGUGAUCUUGCUCUCCUUCCGCGCGCUUGCGAGGGAAGCGCUUCCUAUUCCAGUUCCAAUAAUCUCUCGACCUGGCGGCACAAAAGGGGGAAAAAAAAAAAAAUAAUUAAUUGACUAAUUUUAUCACGAAUAAAUAUUAUUUACGAAUUAUUUGUGGGGCGUUACAGACUUCUCCUGUUCUUUAGAUUCUGACGAAAUUUAGACCAGCAAUGUGAGAUUACGGUUUUAAAAGAUGCAUGGCUCCUACCAAAUUGGUGGAAUACUUUAUCUUGCGUAAUACUUAACUCUCACAUUUUUUACUAGUAUUCGGUCCAAAUACUAACUUGUUGGACGCAAACCAUCGACUCAGAAUAUUUAAGUCCGGUUAUUACUAUCAGCAUGUGAGGUCUCAAAUAUUUUAAAUUAGAAUAUAUUUUUUAUCUUAUAUGAGACUAGCUAUUGAGACAUUACAGUUUGGAAGUGGCCUCAUCGUUUGUACAACUGUACUUGAGCCUUCUUGUGCUGCUACGAUUAUUCGACUUUUCGGAAAAGACUAGGAUUGGAGUAAUUUAUUAUUCGGAACUGAUAGUAACGUGUAUUAUUUUUUAUACAAAAGUGGCCAUCUCCUAGUAAAAAAAACGGCGUGUUGUAAAUUGUAAUUAGUAACUUUCGUUAAUGGAAAUAUAAAGUGAAACAUGCUUUUUGAAAUGCUUUUUGAACUUCAAUAUUUUUUGGGGAAACGUGGAGCUCUCAUUUUUUGCAGAAAGAAUCCAUGCAUGCAUGUGAUGGGUAUGGAGACUUACAAAUUGUAACACAUAAGAUGCGAUUCAAACUUUCUCUUAGGUCUCUAAUAAAUUCAUAGGAUUGAUCAUCUAUUACUUAAGGGACUUUCUUUAAAUUAAAGCACCUUCUUGCGCUGCUACAAUUUUUCGAUUUUUCAGAAAAGCUGUAGAGUUACAGAGUUGGUAAAAAUUUUUAAUCAAUGAGAGCUAAUAUUAAUUAGCAGAUCUUGUUUAAUUGUAGAAAAGUAAAAAUACGCUAAUAUUAAAAGUAAUGGUCUUUUUAUAACACAUAUAAAAGUAGCAUAUGCUUUUUGAACUUCAAAUAAUUUUGGGAAGGCAUUGAGUGAGAGUGUCAUAGUGCUUUACUGCUUUUGCAAAAGUGAAGCUUACAUUUUUUACACUAGGAAAAAGCUAUUCAUGCACUAUUAAUUUGCACUCGCUUGAAGUGUACGGGUAAUAUAGCUCUGAGCAUGAAAAGAUUGCAUUAAGAUAUGUGCUUGUUCACAUCAAAAAUUCAAAAUGAUUAUUUAUGUGAAGCCCGUUAAGACUUACUAAUAUUGGCGAUUAAAAUUCUUAUUAUGUAAUAACAACACAUGAAAGUAAACCUUUAAUCUACAAAACUCAAAAACAAAAGUGAAAGACAUAGACAAAAGAGAAAAUUUUGAUGCUUGAUUUUUUUUUUUUUGGGUGAUCUUAUACUUAUAUGAUAUAAAUAACAAACAUAAAAGAAGGGAUAUAUAGAUACAAUAUUUAGACAUACAAAGGAGAAAGUUUGAGUGGAUCGAAUAAAAGAACAUCAUUUUAUGACCAAGGUUUUCUUUUUUAUGUGUGUGUUUUAAUGUUCUUUUGUGAGAUCUAAAAUGCAAUUAACAGCAUAAUUAAUAUGAAAAAAGAUUACUAACCUUGAGAAAGAAUCAAAAAGCAUCCAAGCACAACAAAAAUUAGAGACACCCCUGUGACCUUCAUGGUUGCUCCAAGGACUAAAGAAUACGCUCCAAACACUCAAUACUUGAGAAAAAAGAUCUCUCGUGUUAAUUUAUAAAGAGAAAAAUUGAGAGGAGAAUCUCAUAAUAUUUGGUCAAUUAAAAUCAUUAGAUUUGAUUAAGGGGAUAUUUAUUGAAAAUAAUAUGUAAAAGAUAUAUAUAUCUCGGGAAGAUCAUAAAAAAUAUUUAGUAAAUUAAAUUCCUUCCAAUUUUAACAAAUUUCUUUCUAUAUUCCUCUGAAUCUAGGGGUAGCGAAUUGCUACACGGAGUGGGUCCAACUGCAGAUUGCCAGACUCUACUUCUCCAAUACGUGGAUGAUACUAUCUUCUUCUCUGAGGCUAAGGAGCCGGAUAUGCGUAAUUUGUUGUUCCUCUGGAAGAUGUUUGAAUGGGGCUCAGGUCUCAAGAUAAAUAUGAGCAAAACUGAACUCCUGUAUUUAGGACCUAAUGCAAGCAGAGCCAACGGUCUUGCAAAUAUUUUAGGAUGCAGAGUAGGCAAUUUACCUCUACGAUAUCUUGGGUUGCCACUCCACAUCAGGUCCCUUAGGAGGGAUGAUUGGGCUCCAAUUAUAAACAGUAUUGAGAAGCGCAUUGAAGGGUGGAAGGCGAAACUCCUCUCACAGGGGGGGAGACUCACCUUGGUCAAUUCGGUGCUCUCGAAUCUGCCGUUAUUCUACUUUACCAUUUUUAAAGCGCCACAAUGGGUUCUGAAACGAAUCGAAGCACUGCGAAGAUCCUUCUUUUGGAAAGGGUGCUCCCAAAUUUCUGGGGGGUCAUGUCUAGUAGGAUGGAAAUCUAUUUGCAAAAGUAAAAAGGAAGGAGGGCUUGGGAUUAAAGAUAUGGAGGCUAUGAAUAAGGCUCUUCUAACCAAAUGGUGGUGGCGAUUCUUCAACGAACCGCAGUUGAUCUGGGGGAGGUUGGUUACAGCAUUAUAUUACACCAGAAGAAGGCCGUUACACGAGGGAAGGGCUUUCAGACCUUUCUCGCAGUGGUGGAGAGGUGUGUUGAGUUGCCGAGAUUUGUUUAAGUGCGGUGUUUCAUAUGUGCUUGGUGAUGGAAAAAAUAUCAGGCUGUGGUCCGAUAUUUGGAUCGAUCAAAUCCCUCUGAGUACUUGGUUUCCAGAAAUCUACUGCAGAAUAGCCAAUAAGGAGGUCACGGUCUCACAAUGCUGGAAUGCUAAUGGGUGGAGAUGGCGUUUCAUAGCUAGAGGUCUUGCGUCGGUCACAGUGGAUGAAAGGCAGAGACUAUUUCUGAUGCUAAAAAAUCUCCUAUCCCAGUAUAGUCCGAACAGCACAAAUGAUAUCUUAAAGUGGCGUUGGUCCUCCAAUCAAAGCUUUUCAGUGAAAUCGCUCUAUGACUUCAUCACCGACGCAGGCCAGAGAGACCCCACGUACGCUCAUCUUUGGAGGUUAAAAAUUCCGGGCAAAGUUAAAAUCUUCAUCUGGAUUUUACUUCGCAAGAGAUUACCCACUGUGGAUAGAUUGAUCACCCGAGGAUGCCCUGUGGAUCAACAGUGCAUUUUUUGCGCGGUCUACCUAGAAAAUUGUGAUCACCUUUUCUCUGAUUGUGUCUUCGUCAGAUACCUUUUUUGGAUUGAGGGAGGGAAUGAGCUGACCGUUGUACACUCGGGGGAUGUCCGGUGCUUAUGGAAUGAGAUAUCUUGUAACCUCAAUGCUGUGUCUGCUGCGAAGAGAUUAACCCGACUGGCGGCGAUCUGGUGGGUUGUUUGGACUGAACGCAAUAAUACUAUCUUUCGUGAUAUGCCUCCCAACGCAAACCGGGCCGCGGUUCGCGUUGAGUCUUUGUUAAAGGAUUGGACUGAUGUUACGUGAUUCUCGACGUCUCCUGCUCUAACCACAUGCUCUUGUUUCCGUUUUCAUGUUUUUUUUGGGCUUUUGUUUUUCUUUUCGUUGAUUUCUUUUCGGUUUCUCUAGGAGGCCCUAGCUGCUUCCACCUGUAUGCUUAGUUCAUUUUACUUUAUGAAUGAAGCAGGUAGCUUGCUACCUUUUUCUCAAAAAAAAAAUAUUCCUCUGAAUUAAUCAAUUCAUUAUUUGAUCUAAACAGGGCAAAAAAAAGGCUCUUGUUGCCGAGUUCAACUGGUAGCGGUCGUAAAGCCUAGUUGUUUCCUAUUUUUUAUAAUAUCAGUUGAUAAAUAGGAAAUAAAUAUGAAAAUCAAAUUAAAUAAAAUAAAAGAAAAUUUACAUUUAGGUAAAUGGAAAUUCUCAAUAUUAAUGUUUUACUCUCAAAAUCAACCCAUCAUAUAUAUGAGUGGUGAACUACUUGACUUUAUUUGAAGAGCACAUUUAUUUACAACAUAUUAAUCUUACAAACCAAGUAGUUUAUAAUUAUCAGCAUGGAUACAAGCUCUUCAAUUAGCACCCAUGACCCAUUUGAGUCUACAUUACAUACAAAUAAACAUUCGAGAAAUGAUUAGCACUUUAUUUUAUAAAAAAAUAAAAAAAAAAUCUUAACUGUUGACCAAUUGAGGGUAAAUGUGUCAUUUAACAUGUAGCAGGGUAAAACGUUAUUUCAUAACGGGGGUAUUUUUGUAAUUAAACAUCACAAAAUUUUAAAAAAGUUUUGAUUGAUAUCCCAAAUCUAAUUAUUAAUUUUGCACUAAUUUAAGCAUUAAUUUAAUAAAUUGAUGGAUAUGUCAAAUUUAGAUAUUAAUUUGCAGCAUUAAUUUUAGAAAUUUUAGAAUUCCUAUAAUUUAGGCAUUAAUUUAAAUUUUAGAAAUUUUAGAUAUAGUACUAUUUUGAAUAUGUUGAAUUUAAAUGUCUAAAUUUAGAAAUUUAAAUUUAAAUUAGAGGAAUUUUGUAUUACUAUUUUAAAAAAUUUUAAUAUUGGUAAAUGUUUAAAUUCAACAUAUUUUAAUGUGUUUAAGAAAUUUUAAAAUCCUCUAUUCUAGACAUUAAUUUUGUAUCACUAGUUUAAAAAACAAUUGAAUUUAGAUAAAUAUUUAAUUUCAACAUAGUUAACAUGCUUAGAAAAAUUAGAAUUUUUCUAGUUUAGACAUUAAUUUUGCAUCACUAUUUAAUUUUUUUUAAUAUAGGUAAAUAUUUAAAUUCAGUAUAUUUAAAGAGUUUCCCUGGUGAUUGAUUGUCUUCUUUGGGUGAAAUACUGUUGCCACAGAUACCAUGUACAAAAUACUUACUCUUAUAAUUGAACACAAUUUGAAGUUUAAACAAUUUAUACCGAAAGAUUUAAACUAACAACAGAAGUCCAAGACCGACCGUCCCUAGAGCAAGUGGUAAAGGGCUUGAUGGUUGGUAUUCGAGACCCAAGUUCGAAUCCUAGUUGAUUCACAUUUAUUGCUAAGUUUAUUUAUAAAUGAAAUAAACGAAGCAGGUAGCGUGCUAUCUAUCUCUCAAAAAAAAAAAAAAAAAAAAAAAUCAAUAGAAGCCCAAGUGUGGCACAACUAACAGUUUCAUCAUCAGUAACAUGUAGAUAAGAAUGUUAGGGACAACCACUACUUCGUUAGAAGAUGUGACUCAAGAGAUAAGAUAAUGCUAGAGACAACCACUACUUAGAUGGAGUAACUCCAGAAGCAGAGAAAAGAUUUCUCCAGACUAGUUUAAAUUCAUUACUAGUCCUUAACAAUUCUCAUGCUUUCGCACGUGCCCAAAGGAUGGUGAGAGCCGAGAUAUAGCUAAAGAACCAUGCGAAAAGAGCAAGCGCUGCAGAGGUGGUGUAGUGGCUGCAUGCGGUCUCCUUGUACCUGCACGAAUUCGCGCCUCUUCGUAGGAGCGACGCCACCGCCGUGAGCUUGCGAAUAGUGCGGCAGCGGACAAACUUUUUAUGCGGUGUGAGCAUAUAGUACUGUCGCAGCGACGGCAACAACAACAACGGCGGUGGUAAUGGUGCAGAUCGAUUGGGGCGGUGGUGGGUUAGUAGCAUAAAAUGGUGAGCGCAGGAGGUGGAAGUGGUGGCUAAACAUAGCAUUUACUAUGAAGUAUGAACCAUUGCAUGCCUCAUAUUUUGAUGCAGGCAAGGAGGGAAGUGAUAGAGCUUCAGUAUGCAUAUGCGUGUAGUCGUCGCGUUAUAUAAUGAAGAGAACGAACAUACACUGUAUAAAUAUAAUGAAGGAUUGUUGCAUCCGGGUAAAGGAAAUACGGGAAUGUGUAAAUGAUCCACAAUGUAUUGUUUUAGCAAUAGGCAAAUAAAAAAUUAGAUAUGUUUUUUUAACUAUAAUAAAAAUUAAAAAGAAUUGUGAAGUUGCAAAGCAGGAGUUCUAAUGCAAAUACGUUACAUUUACACAACAAAAUCUAUUCCAGAGAAUUUUAUAUAAUGCUUACUCUAAAAGCAGCACUCAACAAUACUACACCGUAAAUUAGAGCCAAACUGCAGGCCCUAAAAUAAGUUUUAAUUUAACGCUCAAACCUUCUGAAAACUUUCAUUUUUAGGCCUAGUUUGUAACGGGGUGGUUAUAGGCGGCACUCUAUGCACUUGAACUCGGAACGAUCAAACUCAGUAAACAUAAAGUAUUCCAAUAAACAGAACCAGCAUACUUCGCUGCAAUUUCAUAUAUUGUAUAAUGAACUAAAUAGUACUAUUGCUAUUUAGAGGAAAACUCAACAGGAAAACAUGAAAAAAUUGGAUUGUUAUGGGAUUGAACAAGUUAAAGAGCACAACAGAGGACACCAAAUCAUUCAAUUUUGAACACAUUAUUCAAUAUAGUCAUUCUAAAGGAUUUGCUAUUAAAAGCUAAGCACAAGAAACGGAAGGAAAAAAAAUAAUAAUAAUAGCCAACACUCUGCAUUACACCAAAGUUAUCUAACCUUCUGAAAAAAAAUCUCUUCUAUGAGCUCCUGCCUGAAUCAGAUAACGCACACACAAUAGAAAGGAGAAAUGAAGAACCGAGUAAUCUACACCACCAAUUGAAAAUUCUCUAAAGACCAAAUUUUGUUCUCUUCUUUGGGAGGAAAGAAAUUUACCUAAGUAGAGCAGCAUGUUCUCCUUGCACCCCCCGACGAAUCGGUGACGUUGAUCGUAGUCCCUUGGAUCGGAGGGCCGGCAUUUCCCGCCGCCUCUUGCGCGGCGAGAGCCUUCUUGCUUAUUAUGUGGUAAAUCUCAGUUAGGAUUGUUUGAAAAGCUUUCUCGAUGUUAAAUGCCUCCAAUGCCGAGGUCUCCAGGAACGAGAGCCCCUCCUUCUCGGCCAAAACCUGUGUGGCAAAAAUUAUAUACUUUAAGACCUCAGAAAAGUGAUAAUUUCAUGGACAGCCUCCAGAAGCUAAAGAAAUAGUACAAACAUAUACUAUAAAAUCAGAAUUUUCAUACCUGAGCAUCAUCCUCAGAGACAGAUCGUAGAUGGUUGAGAUCGGACUUGUUACCAACCAUCAUGAUGACUAUGUUGGAGUCCGCGUGGUCGCGGAGCUCACGCAGCCACCUCUGCACAUUUUCGAAUGUCUGUUUCUUUGUAAUGUCGUAGACAAGGAGGGCACCCACUGCCCCACGAUAGUACGCGCUAGUUAUGGCGCGGUAGCGUUCUUGGCCAGCAGUAUCCCAUAUUUGGGCCUUGAUUGUUUUCCCUUCUAUCUGCAACAAUAGUUGAUGAACUAAAUUUAGAAAAGGAAAACAUCUAAGUAAAGGAAUCGGUAUAGCAAGGUAAUGACUGAUAAUUAACUUUUAAUUUUUCAAAUAUUCAAUUAUUUGUUCCUUUCUAAGUAACAAGCACUAUAUUUUUUGAGAGAUGUAACAAGCACUAUAUUGCACAAACUCAGAUAGUGGUAUAUGCAGGAAAAUUUUAUUUUACAUAUAUAUGCAUAUCCCAAAGGACUAAAUGGAAGCAUAACAGAGCAUCGGACAGUAGUUAUUAGAUAAAAGAGCAGGAGGAAGAUCAUAAUAGUUUGGAUCAAAUCAACUUGUGCAGAUCCAAUAUGAGAUCAUUGAGAACAUAAUGAACAUCGUCAAGAUCCAAAUGAGAUCAUCAAGAGCAUAAUGGCAGAUUCCCUAUAGUAAUGGUAGGGAAGGUGAAAAGCUCACAAGGAAAAUUCAUUUAAAUCAACAGAAAAACCGACAAGAUAAGAAGAUAUAUCAUUGAUUAAUAGAGUUUCACAACCAUCCAGGAUCAGAAUACUUCCAAUAAAACUAUGAUAUUAUAAGCUUCCUUGAUUAAGUAUCUUAAAAGACUAUGUUGUAACAACAGCGACAGCAAACAAACACCGACCGUCCCUAGAGCAAGUGGCAAAGGGCUUGGUGGUUGGUACCCGAGACCUAAGUUCGAAUCCUAGUUGAUUCACAUUUCUAGCUAAGUUUAUUUCUAAAUGAAAUAAACGAAGCGGGUAGCGUGCUACCUUUCUCUCUCAAAAAAAAAAAAAAAGACAGCAAACAAACUUUUUAUCUCUAGUAUUACACAGAUCUACUUCUGCAACCUCCACAUAACCUUCUAUAUACUUUUCAAAAACUAAGACUGCAGUCGCUUCUACUAGACAAGAUUGUAAUUCCAUCUAUCCCCUUCCUGAAAUUCCCUUUUAAAGGGAAAAUUCUCAAUUUGUCUGCACCUGUAGAUAAGGCUUAAAUAUGAUCGAUCAUUUUCAAUCAUUUUCUCAUACAUGCCUAUAUGUCUCAUUUAUAAUGUUGCUGAUCUAUCUGUAUCUCCCACGCGAGAUCCUGAUAAAUUUAAUAACACACAUGCCAUUCUCCACUAGCAAAUUGCAUGGAAUUAGAGGAAUAAAAUGCUCUUUCGAGAGAGUUCACCAUUGGAUUUAGUUAAAUUUCACCUUCGCAACAUCUAAACACACUAAAAUUCGAAUCAAAACAAUAAUAAAUUAAUCAAAUGACGAGUAAUUGAUAUUAUAAUUAACAAUUAUUCGGUAGAUCCUAUCAAUAGUUAUUAACGGAACAACAGUUUAAAAUCAAAGGGUUAAAUUGACCAAAAGAAACUGAUCGGAGAAGGAAGGGUGGACCUGAAGCGUCCGGGUGGCGAAUUCGACGCCGAUGGUGGAUUUGGACUCCAAGCAAAACUCGUUGCGCGUGAAUCUCGAGAGGAUGUUGGAUUUACCCACGCCCGAGUCGCCGAUGAGGACGAUUUUGAAAAGGUAAUCGUACUCGUGAUCCACUCGGUGCGCCAUUUCUCCUCCUCCUCCUCGAUUCUCCUCCCCUAAACCCUAGGAUCUGGAUGAGAUCCAAUCAAAACAACACCAAAAUCAACAGAGACCGAUAGAGACCGAUCGAUCGAAGCAAAAACAGAAUUGAAAACGGAGGGAUCUGAGAUCUGGGACCGGAGAAACCCUACCUGAUGCGGGAUCCGAUCGGAGAAGCGAACACUCGGGGAUUGGAGCGAUCAAUGGGAACGCGAGAGAGAGAGAGAGAGAGAGAGAGAGAGAGGUGUGGGGUUCCACGACGACCGGUGACGAGGGAACGGAAGAGAGCGAAGAAAGGGCAUCUAAAUUCUGAAACGGCCUACACGAAUUUUUGGCGCAUUAAUAUAAAAAAGAAAAAAUAAAAUAAAAACACCCGCAUAAUUUUUCCUCAUUGUUCAAAUCUUUUGACCGUAUAAUUUUUUAGGAGUGUUAUCUCUACACUCCAUUUGGACCAUUUGUAACAUCAUAUUUUAUAUUUUAUGUCCUUCAAAUUUAAGUGUUAAUUUCUUUAAACAUGCUAAAAAUUCUAUAAAAAUAAGUAAUUUUGUAUUAUUUUUGAAAAGUUGGUAUUUGCAUUUAUACCCUUGCUAGAGGUAUGUAACCAAAAAAUUUAAAUUAAUAAAGUUUACAUAAAUACUAAUUCUACAAAAAAAAUUAAUAUGUAGGCAGAGCUAUGAUUUUAUAGUCAGCAGUGUGUGAAUUUUCAGUUAUGUAUCGAAAUUCACUAUCGACAUCGUUUAAUAUAAUUUGUGUGAUUUAACUAUCUUAAAACAUUCUUAUUAUUUUUCAACACUACUUAUUAGGUAAUUAAUAUAUUUUCAGAAUUUGUUUAGUUAUAAUAUUUACAUUUUCACCACUUGCUGUAUUUGUAAAUAAUAUUUAAAAUUUACAAAUUAUAUUUGUUAAAUAAUUUAAAUACUUUUGGGGAAAAAAAUUAUUAUCUCUUUCACAUUUGGGCAUGUUUUAAUUUUCGAGCAUGCUAGUGAAAAAAGACAAAAGUGGAGGACCUUUUGGUGUUAGUGGUUUGACCUACCUUUAUUUUUAAUUUUUUUUCUUUCGUUUUUGGAAAGUGCUUUAUGACGAGGGGUAAGAAGGUAAUUUUAGAUUACUAAUAGUAUAAUAAUACAAUAAUAAUACCCAUGAUUCUACCGAAUUAAUGUGUAAAAUAAAAUUUUUGUUUAAAAUUGGUAAAAAUGCGUGGAGAGGCUUAUAACUAUACUUAUUUGAAACUGGUUCCAGGAGCUUUUAUGUGUCUUUGAUGGACACUUUUUUGAAUUUCCAAUUACUUUAAUUUAAUUUAUUUAUAUUAUUUGAAUCACAAAUUUUUGUUAGAUUAUCAGUAUUUUUAGAAAAGAUUUUAACUCUAAUUAUUUUUUAACUAGAGAAAAUACAUAUUUAUUAACAAGCAACGGCCAAUGACCAAUUAAACUAUAAAAAAAAAGUCGACCAAUCAUAAUAAGCGUUUGUGAUUUGUGGGUGGAAGGAAAGUCACGUACCAUAUUAUGACACAACAAAAUAUUGCUGGAAGAAGACGGUGAGUGAUUCAUCGGACGUUGGCAUCUUAACGGGCGACAGCUCGCUCAGAUUCUCUUCUCCUUCUGUCCUUGGCAUGCCCCAUGCCAGGUGAUCAUUUGCAUGGACGCAGCAAAUUCUCUCGGUCCCCACACAAAGAUGAUGAGCAAAUUAAUGCUAUAUAUAUGUACAAGCAUACAGGUUCUCCAGAAUACUCUCUUUAGCGCUCUAUCUGUUGUGCGAUCCUAACUUACAUAUGAAAAAAUUCAAAAUAUAGCAUAUGACAAGGCAGCUAAUGUGAUUCCCGGCUUUUCAAAAAGUCAUUCAUCGUAAGAUUAUUCUAAUCCUAAUACACUUAACUCUUUUAGCUUUUUAGAUUUAACCAUCCCCCAAAAUGUUAUAGUCGGAUUAAGAUUUAGUCCUAAUUAAUAAUGUAACACUCUGAGAAUUUAAAAUAGUUCUAUAUAUGAGAUAUAAUAGGGCUAAUUUUUUGACCCGGUUAUAAUAUUUUAGUCAACGAUUAGAUCCAAAAGGUUAAAAGAGUUGAGCGUGCUAGAACUAUAAUAGUUUUAGGAUGGGUGACCCUCUGGGAAGCGAGACAUCACAAUUGAUUUCAGAACAAAUUUCCAGCAGGAAGUUUGCGAUGAGUCUCGGCUGAAACAGGAUUAUGCAACAGAUAGAGCGAUGCUGAUGACUGUUAUGGAUGGACAUCGCCUAAUACUUGAUACUUGUUAGUGUGCCUGACGAAAAUGUCAGGGUUUAAAGGGAGAGGAACGUAACACCCCGAGGAAGAAACAUUACACCUCGAGGAUUUACAAUAGUCCUAUAUAUAAAAUAUAAUAGGGUUAAACCUUUUAAUCCGAUUAUAAUAUCUUGCGAUGAUUAGACCCAAGAAGUUAAAAGAGUUAAGCAUAUUAAGAGUAGAGUAAUCCUAUGAUUGUUGACCCCGACCAGUAGCUUAACCAAACGACUAUGCUUUAACUUCUUCCUCAUAAAUUGUUUAUUAAUGGGGGGUUGGACAAACAUGAGACUUAACCACCACAAAAAUGUUUUGGCUAUUUAUAAAGUCUCUUAAUUAUCAUUUUCUUUAUUUCUUAUUAUAAUUACCAUUUUAUCCACAUAUUACAUUUCUUUCUUUGUAACCUAUGUAUGUCGACUAUUUAAUAAAAAACUUUAUAGAACUUGGUAAGAAGUGGGUAGGAACUUAGUGAGAAGUGGGUACGGUGCUACUACUCUAAUGAAAUUGCUCUAGAAUAAUUGAAUUGGAUGGUUUAAUUUAAAAGAGUUCCAAAGUGAUCGAGUCACAUGCACCAUUGCUUCAUUAUGAAUAGUUUAGCUUACUCCCACGUCAUGCAUAAGCCUCUAAAUUAUACAAUCACGGGAGCCGUCCCUCCACUAACCGCACUUUAGUAGUUUUUCUAUUGUAUUAAUUAAGCUACAACCACUUCGAGCUACAUGAAAUUAAGAAUAUAUAUAUAUAUAUAUAGAGAGAGCUAGGCUACUAUACUAUAUCUAUAGUACCGAGCUCCGGUACUAUAGUGUUGAUUUUCGAUCUUAGGGCGUUCAAAUCAACGAUCCACACCGCUAAAAUUGAUUUAGGGUAUUUAAAGUUUCUAGAAAUAAAAUUAUAUAUUUUUUCGACAUAGUUUACUUUAUGAUCAAACUAUUUCAAAAUUGUCAAUUUUUAAUGGCUAUUAUGACGAGUUUUGAGUUUAACGGUGUAGAAGAAUCUAAAUUUCUUCAAAUUUUGAUAGAAAAUACUUUAAACUAUAUAGAUUAAGGUUAACAUUCUUGAUCUUGAAUUUAAAAGUCCUAUGCUCAAAUUUUAAAGAUUAUUCAAUUUUCACCGUCCAUUUUAAUAUAAUUUAUUUACUAAGUAAACGAUAUCGAAAAAAACUAAAAUUUUAUUCUUAAAAAAUUCAUAUACCCUAGAUCAUAUUUAACGGUAUGGAUCGUUAAUUUGAAUACCCUAAGAUCGAAAACAAAUACUAUAGUAUCGGAGCUCGGUACUAUAGAUAGUAUAGUAGUCUAAUUCUAUAUACAUAUAUCCUGUUCGACUAAUGUUAUCCAUCUACUCAAUUGAAUACAUACAUACGCGAGAUGCAUUUGAAAGCAACUGCUAUGUUUGGAGUACAUUUUGUUAUUCUUAAUUUGCGACUUACGCCUGCGCAAUUGUGAUGAUCAUCUAUUUUAUUCAAAAAGGUUUGAAUCUAAUGUAAUUUUUUAUGAUCGACCUACUUAACAAGCUUAUCGUUGUUUCACAACUUUUUAGCACGGAAAGGGCUUAAGAAACCGAGCAUCAGUGUCAACUUGCCCAUCUUGUGCCGUCAUUUGAGAGCUCGCAAAAACCUCUUUACUAGUGUUAAUAUAUAAUUCUAAAUUUAUUUUCUAUUAGAUUUUUUUUUAAUAAGUAUGCAUAAGUAUGAGUGUUAAUAUAUAUUUCUGAACCGUUUGUUAUUAGAUUGAUCUUUUGAAUAAUAGUUAGUGUUAAAAAAAACUUCAAAUAUCAUUCAUGUUAUUUCACACUUUCUUACUUUAGUACCAUAUGGUUUAAAGUGUAUCACUUUCUGAUUUUAUUUUAUUUUUUUUGUUAUCCCCUCCACUAACUUUUUUCAUUAAAUCAAUGAUAAAAUUAAAACUAAAAAGUACUAAAAUGAAUAUUUGAUAAAUUUAGAUGAGAUAUUGAAACUUUUUUAUAUAUAAUUAAUGAAAUAUUAACGGAGGAGCUGACGAAAAAAAAAAAAUAAAACCACAGAAUAUUAAAUUAAUACACUUUAAAUUAUAGAAUACUAAAGUAAAAAAAUGCCAAAUUAUAAAAAUGAUAUUUGAAGCUUACCCCUAAGGCCCUGUUUGGAUGCAUAGUUAAAAAACUCCAUGGAAUUUUUUUUCUAUGGUUUUGGUCUAAAUGAAAUACGGAAUCCUGUAACUACAAAAAAAUUCCACAGCUUCAUUUUUAAGUUGUUUGGAUACAUAUCAUACAAUUCCACAGUAUUUAUAACAAUUAAAUUUCUAAAAUUUUAAAAUUCAAAAUUCAAAACUCAAAAUUCAAAAUUCAAAAUUCAAAAUUUAAAAAUAAAAUUUUAAAAAUUAAAAAUAAAAAUUCAAAAUAUAAAAUUAAAAUUUAAAAUUUAAAAUUUAAAAAGUAAAUUAGAUUUUAUGUUUUAAAUUUGAAUUUUGAAAUUUGGAAUUUGAAAUUUCAAAUUUGAAAUUUGAAACUUUAAAAUUUAAAACUUAAAGUAUACCAUUUAAACUUUAAAUUUUGAAAUUUAAAAAAUCUAUAAUUAAAAUUUUAAAUUUCAAAUUUAAUAAUUUAUAAAUUUACAUAUUUAUAAAUUUAAAAUUUUAAAUUUAAGUUUAAAUUUAAAUUUUGAAGAUUGAAAAUUAAAAAUUAAAAAUAAAAUUAAAAUUUGAAAUUUGAAAUUUGAAAUUUGAACUUUUUGAAAUUUGAAAUUUGAAAUUUGAAAUUUUAAAAUUGAAAAUUGAAAAUUGAAAAUUGAAAAUUGAAAAUUGAAAUUUGAAAUUUGAAAUUUGAAAUUUGAAGUUUUUGAAAUUUAAAAUUUAAAAUUUAAAUUUUGAAGUUUUUGAAAUUUGAAAUUUGAAAUUUAAAUUUUGAAAUUUAAAAUCAAAAUUAAAUUUGAAUUUUAAAAUUUUAAAAUUUGAAAUCUAAAAUUUUAUGUUGAAAUUUAAAAUUUAAAAAUUAAUACAUCUUUGGUAGCCCAAAAUGGUGGAAUUUUUUUCCUUUGGUUAAAGUUGAUUGUAAGUUUACUCCAUUUUUUGGAGUAUAGUAUAACUAUACUCCAAAAAUUACUUCAUUUUUUUUUCUUCCAAACGCUUCAUAGGAUUAUUUUCCUACCAGCGUAGCAUAGUUUAACUAUGCUACGUUUUUAGAGGUAUCCAAACGGGGCCUAAGUGUUAUUCAAAAACUUAAUAGGAUAGAAAAAGGUGUCAUAGUCUCAUAGAGGCAAAUAUUUAAAAACUUGUACAGUAUGACGCGUGGUGGCUUUUAGGAGACACGCCCAAUAAUCUUUGUUUCUUUUAUUGAUGCAUGGUCGGCGUUGAAAGUUCUAGUUCGAUUAAGUUCAAAUCUUUUUACACCAAGCUCCCUAAGAACUUUUCGAAAUAGCCUUAAUUAAUUAAUUAAUUAGAUGCACAUGGAACUGUUCUCUUUUUUUCUUCUCUUUUAAUUUUCUUCUUUUUUGAUUUGUAAAUAAGCCACACACAAGAAUAUUUGGUCCUUUUGCAUUCAAAAUCAAAUUAUAUAUUAAAUUGAAUAAAAUGAACAUAACGACCUAAUUGUUUGCCAAUAAUAGUAGAGUUAGACAAGGAUAAAAUAAGAUGCCAAUAUGCAAGGAAACUGGGGAUAUGAAAUUCGUAUUUAUAUAUAGUGUCUACUCCAUGACAUAAAUGAGGAUUAAUUCUCGAUACAAAUUCAACGAGUAAAAGCGUACAGAACGAUACCAACGUAGAUCAGCAUGGCCGACGGGACGAGGGUGAGGAGUACAACGACGGCGGCGACGGCGGCGACGCCACCUUCGCCACCGUGGCAGCCGAUCCUCCCGAGCCUCACCUGCACCAGGUUUACGAGGGCAACCAUCAGGAACCCGACGGCGAACGUCGACCCUGCGGCGGAGGCGACGAUCCCCGCGCGCAGCACCGCCCGGUUGAUCCGGGCAGUGGAGGCGGCAGACCGGGGGGCGGCGCACCGGCAGGUCACGGCCUGCUUGAGGCAUAGGGCUAUGAUGCUGGAGAAAAGGAAGCAGGCGAAGGCGACAACGUGGCAGGUGACAAGAUGUUCAACUGUGCGAACUCCGGUGCUGCACUUGUCUACUCGUGUUGAAUAUAAAAUAUAAAAAUACUGUUAUUCAGCGACAAAAUUAUUUUUGAAAGAUAAUUAUUAUUUGACAAUUCUCGACCUUUGCCACCAGAGGAGGAGGGGUUCCAGGUGAGGCCGACGAAGGCGGCGAAGGUGAAGAGGGAGUUGGCAUGGAGGAUGCCGUCGAGAGCAGUGACGUGGAUGGCAGUGGAGCCGCCAUUGGGGCCGGCAACGGAGGUCGGGGUUCGGCCGCGGAGGAUGGUGCUGGUGGUGGCGCCGCCGUCCAUGAAGUGGUGUGGACUUUUUACUUCCCGCGCGCUAUACUUCACGAUGCCAAAUCCUAGCGUUGCAAAAAUUUCGAUAGCGGAGAAAAUUACCGACGCUUUUUAAAUACGUCGGCGUAAACGCAUAUGUCGGCGAAGACUUUUUUUUUUUUUUUUUUUUUUAGUGAGCUGGUUGGAGAAAUGGGAGCUAGGAUUCGUGACUAGCCACGAGAAGUGCUUGAUGAAAAGAACAAACAAAAGAAAAAAAAAAGUAAAAAGCAAAGAAGCUCGUGUUGGAUGCAAAUCACUUUUCAAUGUAAUUUAGUCGGAUUAAAUAAAAUUAGUCCAGCAAUUUAAUUAGUUCUGUCUCAAAUAAGCCCAUUUUUUAGAACUUUUUGUUUAUUUUAAGGGCGCCAUUCUGAUAUAACAUUUGUUUAAAUUUAUUUUAAUCUAGUCCCUUCUUGAGUACACCUUUCAAGAUUUAAAGAUCCAAAAUAAGCGAUAAAAUAUAUUCAUGCAUGAAUAUUCAAGUGUUUUUAAUGCAAUCAAGUCACUUAUCAUGUCCUUAUUAUAAGUGUUAAAUAUAAAAAUAUAUAAACAUCAUUUUCUAACCGUUUAUGUUUCAGAGUAUAAUAAUUGUUUCACAUGGUAUCAGAACAGAAGGUUUUGAGUUCGAGUCACACAAUACUCAUAGUAUUAUUAAUUUUCUCUCAUUUAAUUUAAAUUCACGUCAUGAGCCUAACAAUAAGUCUCGAGCUCAAACACUACGGUUGUUUCACAGUAUGCACUUUCACCAAAAAUUAAUUAAUGAAAUUUCAAAAUUAUUAGACAUAUGAUAUAUGACUAAAAUACAAGAUUGAUAUUUCUUAAAUUUUUUAUGGAAAAAAUAUUUGAGACGAGAUGUAAAGUUCAAGUGGGAUUUGCAUAGUAGAAGAAAAGCAAAAAGAAUUAAAAAAAAAAAAAAAAAAAAAAAAACUUAGAAUGGUGAUCUUCUCUUUUUUUUUUAUUUUAUUAAGCCUUCUAUAAAUUAGCCGUCUUAUAGAGUGUUAAAAUUUAGGAAAAGAAUUUUAAGAUUUAAGCAAAUGUUUAAAAAUCAAAUUUGAGAUGAAUCUCACGGUUCACCAAAUUUGCUCAAAGAGAUGUCAUUGACAAAAUCUCAAUGAUAGCACACAAGUAGUAGAACAUUUGUUAACACUCAUGCAGUAGACUUAAUUAGAUUUUAAUAAAUAUAUUUUACUUAUAACUAAUUUAAUUCAUUAAUAUCAACAGCUGCUGGAAAAUGUUUUAUAAAAGUGCUUCUCCAUAAUCCAAAAUAAUUUAUUAGUGCUUCACUGUCUUGAUUUUUGUAUGAUUUGGUAGUAGAGUUUGAAAGUUCUUUUGAAUAUUAUGAGGUUUUAAAUUGAGAAUCAAUAACUAUUACAAAAGAUAAAGGCUAGUGCUUUUGAAUAUAAUUCUCUGCCUAUAGUAAGAGCAGUGCACAAUGGAAACAGUCUAGAAUGCACCAGUUAUAUUACUGAUGUGACAUACUCUGCUAAUCAUAUUAUUUUUUUUGAUUUAUCCAUCCCAUUAGAAUUAUUAGAAAUAUUUUUAUUGUACUUUUCUUUCAAAAAAAAAAUUAUACAUUGACUGAUUAUUGAUAAUAUGGUGAUAAACUUUUUCAUGUUUGGUGUAAUUAUAAAAUUAAAUAUGUUUUAAUAAAAUAUAAUCUGAAAGAUAUAAUUAGAAAAUUAAUUUCAAAUUUUGGCGGUUAUUGAUCUGGGUAACUCUUAUAAAAAAUUGCUCGGACUUGGUUCACUUCAAUUCGUGAAAUGUAAAAUGCAUGACCAUCUACUGGAACAAAAUUAUUCAAUCACCAAUUUAAGAAAUUGAGAAAAUAACUUAUUAAAGAAAAAAUAAUUUUUAUAAUCUUUAUUUAAGAAAAAUAAUUUGCUUCAAAUAGUUAGUAGGCAAACCAAUUAUUCAAUCAGAUAAUAUUACCAUAAUUUUUAUAAAAUAUUUUUCAAAUAAAUUCAUACAAAUAUAUAAUUUGAUAUUUUUGACAAUACAUAUGGCAAAAUUUUAUACCUUCACGUUCAUAACUCAUUUACCUAAUAAAUAAUAUAUUAAAAUAAAUAAAUCUUUUUACCAUCCCAAGAGACAAAGUCCAUAACCCAUUUACCCAAGAAACAAUAUAUUAAAAAAAUUAAAUUUCUUUAUCUUCCCAAGAGACAAAAAGCAAUUUCACUCCCCACAUUGCACCUCUCUCUUCCCUAACUAAUAAAUUAUCGCUUCAUCUUUUCACCUUCCUAAAAAAUAAUAUAUUAAAAAAAUAAAUCUUUUCACUUUUUUUUAAAAAAAAUUUAUCUCUUUGUACCUCUCUCUCUCUCCUACCAAUAGAUCUCUUUUUCUAUUCACCUUCUCAAGAAAUAAAAUAUUAAAAAAAUAAAUUUUUUUACCUUUUCAAGAGAUAAUAUACUAAAAAAAUAAACUCCUCUCUCUUUCUCUCUCUUUCUCUUUUUCUCCCUCUACAAGAUCCAUGCUGUAACAACCCUGAAGAAUAAAUGGUAGAAGUAGUAGUAGCAUUAGUAGUUAGAUGUAGAAGAGGAGUAAAGGUAGCAGCUUUACUAGCUAGAAGAAGAAUAAGUGGCAGCAGCAGGUGGAGAGGAGGAGGUGCGGCAGGUGGGCCGACGAGAAGCGUCUUCGAAGGGCUCAGGCGAGCUUAACGGAACAGUCGGGCGAGAGGUAGUCCGGGUGGAGCUCUGGUGGGGACGACGAAGCUAGGGCAUCCUCAAAGCUCGGAGAGGGCGCUGGGAUGUCCAAUGGAGUCCAUGGAGUUGGGGCGAAGAAGAGGACUGGCGGAUCGAAGCUUCAGGAUCUCGGAGCGGAGGCAAAACGCGAACCCAGUACCCGCAGGGUCGCGGAUGAUGCGGAGAAGAAGGAGUCCGACGCCGAUUGCCCGUUUAUAGGCGGAUCGGGUGGGCCGAACCUCGGAUCGGGUGCAAUUAGCGAACCCAAGGCCCGCCGGGUAGCGGAUGAUGCGGAUAAGGUCGAGCCCGAUAUCCAAUCACCCGAUUACAUGAUGCUCAUGGACUUGUCAAGCCAACGGGGGCCCCAUUACCACAGAAUUAGCAGCCCAUGAGGCCCAUAUCUCAUAUUAGCACUUUUGCUGUUUAGCCCUCAGAUAGUAGUUAAUUUUCCUUUCAGUUCAAGUCACCAAGUAGUAUAAAUGUCAAGUGUAAUGUAAACAGGGAUCUAUCGAUGAAAUGAAAUAUUGCUUAUCUUCUUCCCCAAUCCUUCUCGAAACCCUUCUUUGCUUCUAAGCUCCCUAAUUCUCCUCUCUCUUCUCUACUUCUAAUCCCUACCCUUAUCUCUCUGUAUCUCUCUCUGUCUCUCUCUCAUUCCCAUCAUCUCCCAAUUCACGCUCCUCAAUCCGAGGUCUCAUCGGAUCGCGAUUGGGAUCAGGUUGGUCACGCCAUCAUCCCGGUUAGCCAUCCAUCUCCAUCGAGGGUUGCUAACAGGUCCGGUACAUAACACAUGCAUCCUAACCAAUAAGAUUCUGAAAAAUUCGAGAUCACGAAUCUCACGUCAUUCUCACAAAUUUUCUAAAUUCGCUCUAGAUUUGAAGAAAUCUAAUAAAAAAAUCUAAAUUUGGGUUUUGGAACUCUAUAAAUUCAUGAUGAGAAAGAAGCCAAGAGGGGAUGGAGCGGACAGCCAAUAGGGAAUCCGCGAGGGCGCAUGAGGAGAAACGCGUCCAUACCUAGCCCACAUCCAUGUAUUAACUUAAAAAAACAAAAGGAAAAAAAAGAAUGCAGAGGGAGAAGAAGGAGAAGGAAUAUAUAUAUAUAUAUAUAUAUAUAUAUAUAUAUAUAGUUGUGCUGGUAUGUUUAUGAAAGCACGGAGGUCUCCGUGCUUUCAAGUUGUUUUUGAUGUUCGGAUUUUCGAAUCGACGAUCGGCUCCGUUAGAGUUGAUCUAGAGUAUUUGAAGUACAUAGAAAAUAAAUUUUACGAUUUUUCGAUAUCAUUUGCCUAGUGAUCGAAGGAGCUCAAAAUCAAUAAUUUUAACGGCCGUGGUGAGCCGGUUGCAAGUUUAACAGUGUAGAAAUAUCGAAAUCAUAUAAAAUUUUGAUAGAAAAUUCUUUAUACCUUAUAAAACAAGAUCAAUAACUUUGAUCUAAAAUUUUAAUGUCAUAUCGUCAUAUUUUAUAAGAUUUUUAUUUUCAGCCGUUGAUUUUAAGCCACUUCGAUCAAUAGGCAAAUGAUAUCAAAAAAUCAUAAAAUUUAUUUUCUAAAUAAUUCAAAUACUCUAAAUCAAGUCUAACGGAGCCGAUUGUCGAUUCGAAAGUUCAAACAUCGAAAAUAAAAUGAAAGCACGGAGCCUUCCGUGCUUCCAUAAGCAUCCUAUAUAUAGUUGGCAGGGAGAAGUUGACACCGCCACCGCCGCUUAUCUCCCGCCACUGCCGCUACCCUGCUGUUGCGAAGCCGCCGAGUCUGUCGUUGCCGCAUCCACCGCCAUAGUUGCUACCAUCGACGCUAAUGCCAACAUCACCGACUCCGACGCAGCUGCAGCCGCAGCCGCAGCCGCGUCCCCCAGCUGACGCCGUCGAGGCAGAAUCUUAUUAAAAGCAAAUAAAAAAAAGGAAAAAGGUGCGAAGCAGUUUUUUUUUUUUAAAAAAAAAAUAUACUAUUUUUUACUCUCUAAUUAGCUUUCCAAUGAAUUAAAUUUUUUUAAAAUUUUUUUAAAUUAUUUUAUUUGAAACAUAAACUCUUAAUAUUGGUUGGUAAAUAUUUUGAUAUUGGAAAGUUAACGAUUUUUUUCGAUAUAUUAUAUUUUUAAUUUUUUUAAAUAAAUUUUUAAUUUUUAAUUUUUAAUAAUUAUAUAUUAAUUAAUUAAAAUUUUGUUUAUUCGCAGCGAAGCGCGGAUUUUAUACUAGUUAUGAUCAAUUUCACAAUUUAGUCUUUUUAUAAUUGAUUUUGAUCUAAUUUUUGAAACUUUAUGUAUAAAUAAGUCUUUUUAUAAUUGAGCUUGACUUUAUAUUUUUUUUUUCUAAAAAUUAAAUAAUAAAAAAUAUAUAUUAUUUAUAUAAUUAUAUAUUUAUAUAUAUAUAAAUAUAUAUAUAAAUAUAAAUUAAAUAAAUUAUAUAAAUAUAAAAUAUAUGUAUUCGAGCUGUUAUCGAGCCGAACACGAGCGAGCUGACCCUGACUCGUGUUCGACUCGUUUAUUAAACGAGCUGAAAAAUAGCCAGCUCCAUCUCACUCGUGUUCGGCGCGUUAACACCCCUAGCCUAGUUGGUUCUUCUUUAUUAAACGAGCUGAAAAAUUCUGCUCAUAUUCGGCUCAUUUACUAAACGAACAAUUCGAUCUCGAGCUCAUUUUAAAUCGAACACAAGCUGGCUCACAAACAGUCGGUUAGAUUGCCGUCCCUAGUUUGGACAUCCACCCCUAGUUUAGACAUCCAUGUGCGAUAGUAUAGUUUAGACAUCCAUGUACGAGAAAAGGAUGGAAUCACAUGCAGUGAUCUUGUAUCCCGAGCCUUCUAUUUGAAUAUCAAAAAAUAUAAUAUUUUAAAAUAUGACAAGUUAGUUUUUCUACUUAUUCAAAUACAGGGCAAAACAAUUUUAACUGCACUUAAAUAAAAAAAAAAAUUAAUAAAAAGUUGAGUGCAUCUUAGAGGCUAUUUGGUUGCAUUUAUUUUCAACUGUAUUACAGUUAAAAAUACAUACAUCUAUUAAUUUUUUAUUUGAUUUGGUGCAGUUAGACCCAACUGCUGCAGUUGCAUUUGUAUGAGAAGACCCAACUACAGCAAUUGGUACUGCAGCAAAAUUGGCCGCAGUACCAACUGCAGUAGUUGAGCCGGAGUCCGCUCACCGAUUAAAAAAAUAAACAAAGUGUGAAUUUUUUUUUCAUACAAUUCUUUUUUAGCUUUUUUUUCCAAAAAUAUAUAUUUAUGAAAUCUAAUAGAAUUUAGUAAUAUCUAUUAGGAUCAAUAAAUUUUUUUCAUACGCUUCUUAUUUUCCAGUUUGCUAAUUUAAUAAUAUCUUAAUUUUUUUUUUGACCAAAUUUAUAAUAUAUUUAUAUUUAAAAUUUAUUAAAUUCAUAUAUAAUUUAUAAUACAUAAAUUAUACAUAGAUAUAAAAGUCUUAAUUAAUAAUUAAAACAUAAUUACGUUAUACUCAGAAGAGGUAAUAUCAUAUUUCUAUCUAAAAAUUAAUAAAAUUUAUAAAUAUAAAUCUAAAUUGCAGACUACCAAACAGAAGAAAUAUAAGUGCAGCAAUUGUAACUGUAUAAAACCAAAUAGACUAGAUAUAAUUAUGACUGCAGCAUUUACAACUGUAUGUACUUCAAACUAUAUUAUUUUUGCAAUUACAUCCAACCAAACGGCCCCUUAAAGGGUAAGCUUUUUUAAAUUUUAUUAAUUAGCCAGUAUUUUUAAUUUAUUAAUAAAUUAUAUAUUAUUGCUUAUAUCAUUUUAAAAUUAUAACUUGAUUUAAUUAAUAUUUGCAAUUUAUUUACUAGAAAUAUAACAGUGGAGACCUACCUCGGUUGAUGUUGUAAUAUUUUGGUGCAAACUGAUCCAGGCUGAUCCUAAAUCACACAUCCAUGUUAUUUUUUAUCUGCACGGGACAUUGGCUGGAAUUUUUUUUUUUUUUUUAAAAAAAAAACUCAACUCAAGUGCUUCUUAUUUUGGGCACAUGGGAUAAUGCAGUCUCGUAUUAUUUAUUUAUUUAUUUUAAAAUUUUAUUAAGCCGACGACAACGAGACAAAGCUGGAAUUUUCAACUUUUUGCUCAUCUUCAGACUUCAGUAUACCUAAUCACUAAAAUAUUUGUAAAAAAAAAUUUAAUAAAUAUAUAAUUUUUCGGACCUAUCACUUUGCAAAUAGCGUUCACUGCACAUCUCAACCCCUUCAGAUGCGCCUUAUCCUCUCUAUCCAUCGCCGCCGCAGCCGUCCCCUUUGUUCUUCUCCUCCUUCUCCGCCGCCUACAAGCUAGUCGGUCAUAAAAUUACCAAAAUGCCCCGUCGGCAAUUGCUCCUUUUCCCCCUCCCCUUCCAGGGCCACAUCAACCCCAUGUUCGAGCUCGCUGCGCUCCUCCACUCCCGCAGUGGCUGCAGCGGCGGCGGAGGAGGCGGAGGCGAUGGGGUCGACUUCUCUAUCACCAUACUCCACACAACAACACACCCCAUAACUUCCCCCAUGCAUCCAUCCUACCGCUACGUGUCCUUGGCGCCCGUCGACGACGAACUUUCGAAUAGCAACUGCGACCGCGAGCUCCCCCCGAUCGUCGAAGACGUCGUGCUGCACAUCUUCCACCUCAAUGCGCGAUUCGAAGCAUCGUUCCGGGACCGGGUGGCGGCGAUGCUGGAGGACGCCGAAGAGGAGCCGGUUGCGUGCGUGAUCGCCGAUGCGCACUGGUUCGCGGUGCACGCGGCGGCGAGGCGGCUCGGCGUCCCCAGCGUGGCGCUGCGGACCGGAAGCGCCGCGAGCUUCUGUAGCUUCAUGGCGUACCCGCUUCUCAUGCAGAAGGGGUAUAUUCCGGUCAAAGGUAAAUGUGUGUGUAUAUAGGUUGUGACCAGUUAAUCUCUCUCUCUCUCUCUCUUUCUCCCUCGUUUUUUUUCCCUUUUUGUAAAAAAAUAUCUACGCUUCAAUUAAUUAUUUUGCGCCAGAAUCUGAAUUAAACGAGGCAGUGGAGGAGGUGCCCCCCAUGCGGGUCCGAGACCUGCCCCGCGUGGACCAGAGCGACCCGGUCGCGGUCGCGGAGCUGCUAGCCAAAGUCGUCGCCGGAGUCCGAAACUCCUCGGGCCUCAUCCUCAACGCCGCCGAAUUAAUGGAAUCCGCUGAGGUCGACAAAAUCCGGCGCGAACUUGCCCAUAUUCAGGUCUUUGCCAUCGGCCCCCUCCACAAGUUCACACCCCUCGCCGCGCAGCCCAACCAGCUUCCCCCCGACCGCACCUGCCUCGCUUGGCUCGACGCGCAGCCCGCGGCCUCUGUCCUGUACGUCAGCUUCGGGAGCGUGGCCUCGCUUCCCGAGAAGCACUUCGUCGAAACGGCGUUCGGGCUCGCGCUCAGCGGCCGCGCUUUCCUGUGGGUGGUUCGCCCCGGCUCGGUCCGUGGGCCCCGCGGGGCGGCGGUCGAAACUAAGUUGCCGGAAGGGUUCGAGGAGACAACGCGUGGCAGGGGAAGGGUGGUGGAGUGGGCCCCGCAGCAGGAGGUGCUGCGGCACCGCGCGGUGGGCGCGUUCUGGACGCACUGCGGCUGGAACUCGACUCUGGAAGCGAUCUCCGAGGGGGUGCCGCUGAUCUGCGCGCCGCAGUUCGGGGACCAGAUGGGGAACGCGCGGUACGCGACGCGCGUCUGGGGAAUCGCGGCGGAGGUGGAGGGGGAGCUCUGGGAGCGGGGGAGAAUCGCUGCGGUGAUUAAGGCUGUGAUGGAGGGGAGAGAGGGGGAGGAGAUGCGAGAGAGGGCGAGGGAGUUGAAGCAGAAAUUAUCGGCGAGCGUGAGUAGAGGGGGGUCUUCUCAUGCGGGCGCAGAAAGAUUGGUGGAAUAUUUGAAAAGUUUGUAAAACAUCAAGCGCGUUGGUCGCCGCACCUAAUGUUUCAAAAAAAUUGGCGUCUAAUCGAGUUUGGUUCAGUCAAUUAGACCUGGAUAUGGUUAAUCAGUUUGGAACAAUCAAGUCAGAUUCGAUAGGAAUUGGGUUUUGCCUUGUUGUAGUCGAAUUGACGGAGCACGCAUCAAGUCCUACUGAUUAAUUAGAUCGAGCCUAAAUUCAGCUCGUGGGUCGGGUUCAACCUACAUGUUAUUCAGGUUUUGCGUAAUUUUCAUGUCUUAAUUAAUUAUAGCUACUGAUGCAUUGGGUAAUUGAAGUUACAAUGGUUUAGUCGUGUCAAGCCUCAAUUUAUUGCCAGUGAAAGCGCUUGCUUAGUACGGGUUUGUUUAACGCUGCUAUAAAAUUGAGUGUUUUUAAUAAACUAUUACGUAACCGAUCGUCCCUAAAGCAAGUGGCAAAAGACUUGGUGGUUGAUACCCGAGGUUCCAAGUUCUAAUCCUAGUCGAUUCACAUUUUCAGCUAAGUUUAUUUCUUAAUGAAAUAAACGAAGCAGGUAGCGUGCUAUCUAUCUCUCUAAAAAAAAUUACGUAAAUAAUAAUAUUAGAAAAGGUGUUGGUAGGAAUAAUUUUAUCUGAUUAUUAUAGAUAACUGAGAACUACUAUAAAUUAGUGUUUGGGUAUAAAGGAGGGACCCUUAUUCCCAAUACAAACGCUACCGUAGAAAACAUUUUGUCCCACGACAAUUUAACAUUCCAUAAUUUAUUAACAAUUUAUUUUAUAUAUUAUAAUUUCAUUACUUGAGAUAUUAUUUUGUUAUUCUACUUAAUGAUAGAAUUAUAUAUUAAAAUUAAAAUAAAAUUAUAAUUUAGUUAAGUACUUUUUUGAAUCACAAGGUGGAAAAAGAAAAAUGAAAAUUUUAUAAUUUUGAAAAUUGGCUGCUGCAAGCCUGCAACCAAAGCGCACGAAGUUCACAAAGAUUUCAAAUAAUCCACCAACCUCUCUGCGCCCGCAUGAGAAGACCCCUCUCGGCUUACGCUGACCGCCAACUUCUGCUUCAACUCCCUCGCCCUCUCGCGAAUCUCCCUCCCCUCUCUCCCCUCCAUCACCGCCUUGAUCACCGCCGCGAUUCUCCCCCGCUCCCAGCGCCCCCCCUCCACCUCCGCCGCGAUCCCCCAGACGCGCGUCGCGUACCGCGCGUUCCCCAUCUGGUCCCCGAACCGCGGCGCGCAGAUCAGCGGCACCCCCUCGGAGAUCGCUUCGAAUGUCGAGUUCCAGCCGCAGUGCGUCCAGAACGCGCCCACCGCGCGGUGCCGCAGCACCUCCUGCUGCGGGGCCCACUCCACCACCCUUCCCCUGCCACGCGUCAUCUCCUCCAAUCCUUCCAGCAACUUAGUUUCGACCGCCCCCCCGCGGGGCCCACGGACCGAGCCGGGGCGAACCACCCACAGGAAAGCGCGGCCGCUGAGCGCGAGCCCGAACGCCAUUUCGACGAAGUGCUUUCCAGGAAGCGAGGCCAAGCUCCCGAAGCUGACGUACACGACCGAGGCCGCGGGCUGCGCGUCGAGCCAAGCGAGGCAGGUGCGGUCGGGGGGAAGCUGUCCGGGCUGCGCGGCGUGGGGUGUGAACUUGUGGAGGGGCCCGAUGGCAAAGACGUGAAUAUGGGCAAGUUCGCGCCGAAUUUUGUCGACCUCGGCGGAUUCCAUGGAGUCGGCGGCGUUGAGGAUGAGGCCCGAGGAGUUUCGGACUCCGGCGACGACUUUCGCUAGCAGCUCCGCGAACAAGCCCGGGUCGCCCUCGUCCAUGCGGAACAGGUCUCGGACACGCAGCGGGGGUAGCUCCUCCACUGCCUCGUUUAAUUGAGAUUCUUGUACCGAAACUAUUGGAGAGCAAAUAUUUAGUUUUAAAUUAAUUUCCUCAAUAAUUAAUCUUCCCAUUAGUUGUAACCAUUUCAGAUUAUAAAAUAUUAUUAGUGUUCUUACAAAUAUUAAACUACCGUUUGGUUCGGGGUUAAGAAAAAACGAGUUAUUUCAGGGAUAGGGUUAAGAUGAGGUUAGAGUAUUUUUGUGUUUGGUUGGGGGUUUGAGUUAGUUCAGGAUAGUGAAAAAUAAUGUUUGGUUGGAGUAGAUGGGAUAAAAAGAAUAGUAGGUUAUUAUGAAUAGAAAAUAGUGUUUGUUUGGGGUUUGGUGGGGUUAGGUGGGAUUAGCUAAUCCGGAAUAAUUCAUUUGAGGUAGGAUUAACUAACCCAAUCCAUUUUUAGAAGUGUUUAGAAAUAAAAUAGGGGUUAAAGGGUUAUUCCACCCCCUAACCCUGAAUGAUAUUUUAGCCUCCGUUUGGUUCGGGGUUAAGGAAAAAGUAGCUAUUCCAGGGAUAGAGUUAAGUUCAGGGUUAAAGUGGGGUUAAAGUUUUUUUGUGUUUGGUUGGAGGUUGGAGUUAGUCUAGAAUAAUAAAAAAUAGUGUUUGGUUGGAGAAGGUGGGAUAAAAAGAUAAUGAUUGAUAAAGAAGGAUAAUGAUUGGUUGGAGUAUGUGUGAUAAGAAAGAUAGUGAGUUAUUAUGAAUAGAAAAUAGUGUUGGUUGGAGUUUGGUCGGGUUAGGUAAGGUUAGCUAACCCGGGAUAAUUUAUUUGAGGUGGGGUUAGCUAACCCCAUCCAUUUUUUGGGAUGUUUGGGGAUAAAAUGGGGGUUAAGGGGUUAUUCCACCCCUUAACCCCCAACCAAACAAAGGCUUAGAGUUUGAAGGAAGGGUUAAUUGCAAACAGGUCUCACUAAAUAUAGUGAAUUGCAGAUGUAUUUCUGUAAAGUUCAAUUUUUAUAAAUUAUUCCUGUAAAAGUUCUAAUAUUUUAAGAUAGAUCCCUUUGCUUUGUUACCGUUAGAGAAUACUUUAUCCGAAUUAAUUUUUGACAUUUUAAGAAUAUUAAUAUUAUUAUAAUUUUUAGAGGGACAUAUUUGUGAUUGUAAAAUUAAAAAUAUAAAGUUUUCUAAUAAUUCUUUAACGAUAAUAAAUCAAAAAGACAUAUAUGAAAAUAUUAGAUUUUUGCCGGAAUAAUUUAUUAAAAUUAAAUUUUACAAAAAUAUAUCUAUAAUUUACGCG